AAAAAGCGACCGACAAUGAAACAAGUCACAUCAGAGUUGGAGAGGAUCAUUCAAUUGUCACAAAAGAAGGACGUUAAACAAAAUAACGAAGAAGCUGAUCAGGGCAUCACGGCUGAAGUAAUCAGUGCGAGGGAUGAUGCUUCUACAUCAAUUACUUGCAACAGUUUUCAAGUUGAUCAAGCUUUAUCGUCAUCAGAUGUCGAACCUUUGGUCCCUUUCAAGACUUGGUGAUCCAUUAAUAAGAAACGUGUCUCGACUCUGUAAGUUUUUCCUUUUUCUUUUUUCCUAAUGUUCUUGGAUAAACUUAAGACCAUUUGUUGCGGUAUUUGUUUUUGCGAAAAUGCUUUAAGCUAUCGAUCGGUGUCACUGUUUUUUCUUCUAUAUAAACCUUGCUCACGUUCUCUUAAUCUUAUUAUUUCUCUUCUCACCUUGGGAAAAUAUAGCAAAUCACAAGAAGAAAUGGAGUGAUCUUGGUGUGCCUAGAAGGGACAUCUUUGAAUGCUUGAGUUUCUGGGUCAUCCUUACCAAGAAUAUAGCGACAGUCAGAGUGUAAUAUUUCUUGCCAAGAAUCCAGCAUUUCAUUCUAGAACUAAGCAUAUUCAGAUCAAAUAUUACUUCAUCCAACAAUUGCUGGACGAUGAACAACUAAUGCUAGAAAAAGUCUAUGGAAACAAGAAUCUAGCCGACAUGUUAACCAAAGGAGUUACACUUGAUAAACUGAAGUUGUGUAAAACUUCAAUUGGUCUUCAAGGAUAAAAGAUAAUUUCAUUGUUUGUCUUCAAGUGAGAGAUUGUUAGUAAAAUAGAGACAAGCAAUGUCCCACCUCCACUAUAUAUGUGCUUAGUGGGAACAACUCAUCUCCCACUUAGCAUAAAGUGGAGGCAUAAACGGUGGCAUGAUUUAUGCCUUUUACUCCCAGCUUAGUGUGUGUGUGUAUACUCAGUGAAGAGCUGCGGGUUGUAAGAGAGAACAUUAGAGAAUGAGAGCAGAAGAAUAUAGAGAGCUAGAGUGAGUAGAGUUGAGUUGAGAAGAGUUUUCUCCUCCUCCUUGUUUGUAUUAUUUCUUUGAUUGAUUAAUACAAACCAAUAGCUCCGUGGAGUAGGCAAGUUGUCGAACCAUGUAAAUUUAUUUGUGUUUGAUUUCUAGAAUGACCCAACACACCAGUUACAUGCCAGCUAAUGUGGUCACCAUAAGAUAAUUGAUUAGUACUUAAAAGUGUAUGUUUAUCAAAGGUUUAUAUCAUUAUUUUGCAUUUGAAGUAUCAAUAACUCUUUAACUAAAGCAUGUUUUAUAAUAACAAGUCUAAUACUAUAAGAUACCUUAAUAUAUUGUAAAUGUUCAUCUUAAAUGCAGGCAUAUCAUAUAAAUCAAAGGAUUGAUUGAUGAAUUCAACUACUGAAAUUUGUGAAAUAAAGAGAGGGUGAAGCUUAGAAAAAAGAUGUUGGUGCAGUCCAAACUAGAAUACUGUUCGGUAAUUGGGUCAAAUCUCGAGUUCUAGAUGUCCAAAUGACCUCAAAUUUUUACAUAGAUUUGGUAAGACAUAGGCCUACAACUUUCAUAUUUUCAUUAAGAUCUAAAAAGGCCGUUUGCAAGUCCAAAUUAUAGCAACAACGGAGAAGUCCGAAUAUGUCCUGCAGCCCGCACACUGUUCAGUGUUUGGCCCAUAUCUAGAGUUAUAGAAGUCCAAAUGACCUCUAUUUUUUUUUCCUGGAAAUCUGAGUUAAUUUCCUACAACUUUCAUGUUUUCAAGUGGACCCAUUUCUAAUGCUAGCAUUUUUGUUUUAUUCAGACAAGAAGAUAAGGAUUUUCACCAAGUCAAGAGUUGGCCACCCACUCAAUAAUUACUCAUCAAAUCAAUAAUUCUAAAUUUUGGCAUAUAAAAGGAGGCAUUUUCCAUGUAUUUAGGGGCUUGGUUGUUCAGAUCAAGUUCAUGCUCUUUAUUUCUCUCUUUAUAUUUUUUGUAAUUCUUAAGUUUUGCUUUCAUUAAUAUCUUGUUUAUGCUUUUCAUUUUCUUAGUUAACUUGUAUCUUUUUUAUGUUCUUGUUUUGUUUAUUUAUGUUUCUCUUCUUCAUUAUGUUUAACUAAGUUUAUUAUGUCAAGGUGAAAAGGUUACACCAAUGGUGUAAGAAUAAGUAUGGUGUAAACUCAACAUGGACCUUAAUGUUUAAUAUUAACAUGUCUUAUCUUUUUAUCUUACUAAUUCUUAAUAUCUUACUUGUUAAAUGGUUAAUCUAGAUUUGUGUUGUAUAACACUUGGUACAACAAAUGCUUGACACUCUCAUAGCCCAACCGUAUGGUAUUACCUACACCUGGGGCUAUGAAAGGAACUUGAUUUGUUAUUAACAUCAGUUAACAUCAUGAAUUCCUGACAAUAUUUAAAAGUUUGGUGUUAUGUAAAUAAGAUAAUUAAUAUGAUCAUGUUAAUAAUUUAUAAUGAGCUAUUAAUAACAAAUCAUCUGAUUGGAACCUCCUUCGUGUGUGGUUUCCAAAUUGAGUAAUAAGAGUUUAUACUAUACUUGUUUGAAAUACCAUUGGUGGAUCCUCUAACCUUGACAUUUAUUUUUAUCAUUGUUUAAUCCUUAUAUUAAUCUUCCAUCUCAAAGUUCUCAUUAAUUUCUUCCUCCUCUUCUUUUUACUACUACUACUACUACUACUACUACUACUACUAGUAUUAUUAUUUACAUUCUUGUUAUAUUUUAUGUACGUUAAGUAUGCUCUGUAUUUGAUCAAGGAUCCUGACAUUGUUGGUCUUGCCUUGUUCAUUCGCAUCAGAAAUCUGUUUAUAUUAUAUAAUAUAUCUUUUUGAUCUUUUCAUAAACUUAGUAUAUAGGCUAGAAACCUGUGACCCGAUCUUUUAGAUCAUUCUUAGGUAUAAUAACGCAACAUACUGAUUAUUAUUAUUAUUAUUAUUAUUAUUAUUAUUAUUACUAUUACUAUUAUUGUUAUUGUUGUUGUUGUUGUUGUUGUCGUCGUCCGUCGUCAUCUUAUUAUUUAUAAUUUAUACAAUUAACCUCUCUGUGGUUCGACCUCGGUCUUGCCGGGUUAUUUAUUACUUUGACACUCCUGCACUUGGGAGAAGACAUCAAUCCUUUGGUCGUGUCAAUAAUCAACGAAGAAGUUGAGAGGUUGAAGUAAGAGCAUCACAGAAAGAAGAGUAAAUAAAAUUUUUUUAUCAAAAUGCCUGCCCAAAGACAAGCAAACCACUAUUUGAUAACACAUGUCACAUCAAGAGAAAGAAAAUGCAGCGACGCAUCAAAAGAGAUGGCGGAAAGACAUAUUCCAUCACCAGACAACGUCUCAUGCUCUAGCAGUUUUUAAACAUUUAAUAUUAAUUAUAUUUUUGUAAGAAUAUCUUAAUAUCCUCUGUCACACCUGAACAUCGCAGCGGCCUUAAAAAUUAAUUAUAUUCAUGGAAAGAACAGAUUUCUGGCAUCCUGCUCUUUGAUGGGAAUAUUCUUUGUUUAAGGAGUCGUCACCUAAUAUUACGGUUACUAGGAACCCUAACUGGUCAACAGAGAUUCUAUGGUCCGAGACUGGUUACGUAAAAGAGAAGAUAUUAUCACCCCUUAAACGCCCCACCUAAGGUAGGCUGCAUUGCUGAUCUUUGUUAUUAAUUGCUAAUAUUUUUUUGUUGGUUUGUACUAUGAUUGUUUGUGUAAUAUUCCUGACUCUGGCGCCAGUGAAUAUUCAAUUACGGAUAUUUUCAACUCUGGCGUUAGUAAAUAUUACGUAGGUAUCAAAAUAAAUAAAUUUAUAUCAUCAUUUUUAUUAUAUUCCUGACUCUGGCGUCAGUGAACAAAUAAGUAAAAAUCAAUUUAUUUUUUACGCAUACGCAUUAUUUUAUUUUUUAUGUAGCUAAAUAAAACAAAAAAAAAUAAAAUAAAUUUACAUUGGUAUUUUUUAUUCCUGACUCUGACGUCAGUGAAUAUACCAAAUAAAUUUAUUUUAUUUUAUCUUAAGUUAGCUUUUUUGUAGCACGCACAUUUUUAUAUAACCAAGUAAAAUACAAUUAAAUAAAUUUGAAUCAGUAUUUUUAUUUUGACUCUGGCAUCAAUGAAUAAAUAAAAAAAACAUAAAUUCAUAUUUAUAUUUUUUUUACAUAUACAAUUUUUUUUACAUUUUUUAUUUUUUUUUUACAAUUUUGGGCUGGGGAUAUAUAGCACUUGCUACAGUAGCAAGUGAAUUAUAAUUCACAGCUACUGUAGCGUGAAUUAAAAUGUAGAAAGGAAAAAUGCAAAGAAUAUACCUGUGCAGGGAGGCGAAGCCGAAGACGUUGGCGAUGAAUGGGUUGGUCGAACGGACGCUCUCUGCUCUGCUUCUUCCUGUUUUUCACUUUCUCUCUCGAAGUCUGCCUGAUGCUGGAGCUUGAUGACGAAGACGAUGGCGAAGGUAUGCUGGUUUUCCAAAGCUACCUUCUCUCCUUCUCUGUUUCUGUCUAUGUUGUAUGUGAUAGGUCCCAAUCAAGAACAAAUAUAAUAUGAGCGAAUUGUAACUUUCUUAGGGUGAAAGCUAAACCACAAUUGUUUGUAUUAAUUCUCUGCCUUUAUUUCAUGCUAACGUUCCAAUAAAUAGAGUUUCAGCUUAACAAAUUAGCCUCAACUUCAGGAACUAACUAGCCUUAUUUUAAGGGAAAUACGUAACAACUUUGAAUGAGUAAAACAAUGCAAAACAACAGCAAUGGAAAGAAAUAUAAAAACUGAUACUUGGUCUUCACUUCAAGCUAAAAACUUGGGAUUCUUCUUAGGGAUUCUUUCAGAUCUUCUUGGCCUAUCAAUAUUCCCCUCACUGACAGGAACCUUGUCCUCAAGGUUCAAUGAAGGAAAUUGUGUCUGUAACAACGUGGUGUCGCACCCCUAAAAAUCCGGGCGCGCGGCAUCGGCUGUCGAUUUUUCUCGUUUAUGAUGUUUUGCUGAAUUUGAUUCGUGGGAGUCGCCACCUAGUAAUUGAUUUCGGGCUACUAGGAAACCGGAUGUACUGGUCUUGUUAGAGAUUCGUGGGUAAGGGACUGGUUGUGGUUAGGGAAGGUAUUAGCACCCCUAACGCACCCUACCUGAGGUAAGCUGCUUCGUGGCUUUGACGUGUUAAAGAAGUUUUAAUAAUUGUCUUUUCAUCGGAAAUUAGAAAUAUCACUUACGUAUAAGUUAAUAAUUCUUAACCGUGAUCCAAUCAAAAUAUUAAAUUCUUCUUUAAUAUAUUUACAAUUUUAUCCUAAAUAUAUAUAUAUAUAUAUAUAUAUAUAUAUAUAUAUAUAUAUAUAUAUAUAUAUAUAUACAAAUAAGUAAAACAAAAUGCAAACAACACACCUUCACUAUUUUCAUUUCUUUUCUUUUUCUUUUCUUUUUUUCUUUUCUUUUCUUUUACAUCCACAAUACAAAUACAAAUACAAAUUAAAAUUCAAAAUAAAUAAAUAAAAAUACAUCAAUACACACAUUCCCUUUUUUAUUAUUAUUUUCCUUUCUUUUCUUCUUUUUUUACAUCACAAUACCAAUACACAUACAAAUACAAAACAAAUAAAUAAAAAUUACAUUAAUUAAUUCAACAUUUACACAAUAGUCCCUAAAACUCCAAAAAUUGCAGGGAAGGACUUCUGGGACCCGGAACAGUGAUGGGAACAGUGGCGGCGCGUCUUCCCACGCGCCACCGUCACUAGCGGCGCGUGGGUUCACGCGCCGCCAAUGGAAAACCUGAAAAACAGAGGGGGCUGGAACGACUCCUUCUCCUCUUCCUUUCCUCGCCGGCGGUGAAGGUCACCGCCACCUGCAACAAGAGCAAAAACUCACAAACAGCAGUUCGUUUUAAUUUUUUUUCUUUCCGUUACAGAUCUGCUUCUCUUUGAUCUGAUUCUCUGCAGAUCGGUUCGCCCUUCUUCAGAUCGACUUUGCCCCGGGUCAGCCUCUACUUCGGGCGGCGCUGUUGGGGUCGCUGCUGUGGUCGUUGUUGCUGUCGGAGGCUGGACGGAGAGGAGAGGUCGGGGAAAAUGGUGAUGCAACCAGCGCGAUGGGGGAGCGAGGGGGAACUGCUCUGGCUUCUGUCCGGCGUGUAGCUGGUUGGAGGCGGCGAGAGCUGGGAAGAAGGAAUGGCCGAAAGAGGGGAGUGGAUGAUGGCUUAGAAAUGGCCGACCUCCGGGGAGAAAAAGAAAAGAAAAAAAAAGAUGGGGGGAGGGGAGUCUGUGUCCACGGCUGGGAAGGAAAAAACGAGGGAGGGGCUGCUGUGAUGCCGGUGACAAAGCUGGCAGCCGAGUGAGGGAGAGGAAAAAAUUAAAACCGGGGGGGGGGGUUUCUGUGAGAAGAAGAAAAAAUGGCUUUGGGGCUGGGGGGCGGCGGCCGAGAUUGAGCUGAAAAUAAGGGGGGGCUGUGGGAGCAAAAAAUGUCAAACCGGGGAAGGGGCUGGUUCGGUUUACAGGGCAAGGUGACCGGUUCCAAGAGAAAGGAGAAAGGGAGGGCUGCCGUAUGUGUGAUGGUGGCUGUGUUUGGCUGAGGGAGAUAAAAAAAUUUGUUGCUGAGACUUUCGGUUUCAGAGGGAGAGCCCCCCAAAAGAGAGGCUGUGGGGCUGGUUUUUGAGGGGAAAGAGACGAAAAUUAAAUAGCAAAGGGGCUGUCUUUGUUUUUGCACAGGGUAGGGGGAACGACUAGUUUCGGGUGAAGAGAAAAUUCUUAGGUUGCCCCCUUCUUUCAAAAUUCAAAAUUCCCUACACAUAGAUAAAAAUAUUGUUUCGGCCUCAAAAUUGGUCCCUUAAUUUUCUUUUUUUUUUUUGUAAAAAUCUGAUUUUUCUUGUUUUUUUGUAUUUUUUUGAAAACGAGCAAUAUCAACGUCGACUCAAAUACAAAAAAUAAAUUAUUUUAAAAAUGACGAGUGAAAAGUCGAACACGUUCGAAAGACCCUUAAAAAUUUUAAUUUUUUUUUUAGACGACGUUGAAAAUGCUAAAAUGACGAAAAUAUAUUAAAAAACAUAUUUUUUUGGAUUUUCUUUGUUUUUCUCUAUUUUUGGAUUUUUUUUUGAAAAUAUAUCAAAAACAUGGGUCAAAAAUUGGGUAGCAACACGUGGUAUUCUCCCAGGUAGCAUCAUCAUCAGAUAACUGCUGCCAUUUGACCAGACUUUCUUCCACAAAUUUAUCCCCCUGUUUAAUCCAAUGGUUAUCAAGGAUCUUCUCUGGCAUGAUAGAAACUGCACCUUCAUCAGAAAUUGGGGGCAACUCUAAUGUAACCUGUGGAGGAUCCCCAAUAUAUUUCUUUAAAAGAGAAACAUGAAAAACGGGGUGGAUCCGUGUGCUGGCUGGUAACUGUAAACGGUAUGCAACAUUGCCAAUCCUUUGCUCAAUACAAUAAGGCCCGUAAAACUUAUUUGCAAGUUUUUGGUGAACUCGUUUAAAUACGGUUUGUUGGCGAUAAGGGUGUAACUUUAAGAGAACCAUAUUACCAACAUGAAAUUCAACAGAACGCCUGGAUUUGUCAGCUGUUUGUUUCAUGCGAUUAGCAGCUCUGUCCAAAUUCAUUUUCAAGUGCUGGAGUAACUCAUCCCGAUGUAAAAGGCUUUGAUCAACUUCAUUCACUCUAGAUAAGCCAUCCGAAUAUAGAGGAAUGGAAGGAGGAAGUCGGCCAUACAAUGCUUGAAAGGGUGUCAUGCCUGUGGAGCUGUGGUAGGCAGUAUUAUACCAAUAUUCAGUCCAAGGUAAAUAACUAUACCAUUUUCGUGGCCAUUGAUGGACAAAACAACAGAGGUAUUGUUCAACACAACAGUUCACAACCUCGGUUUGUCCGUCCGUCUGUGGAUGGUAGGCAGAACUCAAUUUGAGCUGGGUUCCUGACAUUGUGAAGAAUUCUUGCCAGAAUUUGCUGAUAAAGAUGGGAUCACGGUCACUAAUGAUGGACUUCGGCAUGCCAUGGAGUUUGACAAUGUGUUCAACAAAUUGUUCAGCUACUGUCUUUGCAGAAAAUGGAUGGGACAAAGCAACAAAUUGUUCAACACUGUCUUUGCCGUGAGAAGAGGGAAGACCUUCAAUAAAAUCCAAACUGAUAUCUUCCCAUACCUGACAAGGAAUGGGCAGAGGCUGAAGCAAUCCUGCUGGAGCAAGAGUUGCCGUUUUGGCGCGUUGACAAACUUCACAUUGCAUAAUGUAAUCCUGCACUGAUCGAUACAUGGAUGGCCAAUAAAAUUGUUGACUUAAUCGCUUGAAGGUUCUCAACACUCCUGAAUGUCCUGCCAUUUUACUGUCAUGAAAUUCUUGUAGCAGCAGGUUGCAGAUAGGUUGUGGAAGUACCACUCUUUGUUUAUAGAAACAUAAACCAUUUUGCAUGGAGUAUGGACCAGCAGGAUCAAUAGUUAAUUGUUGUGUAACUUGGUGCAUAUAUGGAUCAUCCUGUGCAGCUCUUUUGAUGUCCUCCCAAAGAGUGAACUGAGGAACAAAUAUGGAGUUGAGGAGAGGACUAUCAGGACGCCGUGAUAGAGCAUCAGCUGCUGAGUUCUCACGUCCAGGCCUAUAGAUUAUUUCAUAAUCGUAAACCAACAACUUGGCAACCCAUUUUUGUUGCUAUGGAGUAGCCACACGCUAUUCCAAGAAAUAUUUGAGGCUCCUGUGGUCGGUUUGAAUGAAGAACUUUUGUCCCAAGAGAUAUGGCUUCCAAGACCGAAUUGCUUCAACAAUUGCCAGCAUUUCUUUAGCAUAAAUGGACCACGUCCGUUUGCUGAUGCCUAAAGCACGACUCAUGAAUGCAAUAGGACGACCUUGCUGCGUAAGAACAACACCAAUUCCAUCUCCUGAGGCAUCAAUUUCAAUAACAAAGGUGCCAUUAAAAUUAGGCAUGGCUAGAGUGGGGGUCGUUGUCAUGGCUUGCUUCAGCAAGUUGAAUGCAGCUCCUGCCUCCUCAGUCCAGUGAAAGUUACCCUUUUUGAGGAGAUUGUAACCUGUCAAGCCAACAGCCCAUAAUUCUGAACAAAUUUCCUGUAGUAACCUGUCAAGCCUAAAAAUCCACGUAACUCAGUAAUGUUAACAGGCUGUGGCCAAGCUACCAUGGCCUCAAUUUUUUUGUUGUCGACCUUGACUCCUUGGUGUGUCACGAUAUGACCCAAAUAUUCUAAUUCUUGUUUGCCGAAAUCACACUUGCUAGCUUUAAUGAAAAACUGAUAUUGUUGCAAAAUAUCUAAGGUGAUCCUGACAUGUUGUAGAUGGGAUUCCCAAGUAAGACUAUAAACAAGAAUGUCAUCAAAGAAGACUAAUAUAAAUUUACGAAGAUGAGGGCGAAAUAUGGAGUUCAUAGUGGCUUGAAAAGUUGAUGGGGCAUUGCAUAAACCAAAAGGCAUCACUAGAUAUUCAAAAUGGCCGUUAUGAGUUCUGAAGGCAGUUUUUGGAAUAUCGGGAGCAUGAACUCGUACCUGAUGAUAACCAGCUCUCAAAUCUAGUUUGGUGAAAUAGGCUGCACCAUAUAGCUCAUCAAGCAUAUCAUCUACGGUGGGUAUGGGAAAUCUAUCUUUGAUGGUAGCUGCAUUCAGUGCUCGGUAGUCUGUGCAAAAUCGCCAAGUGCCAUCUUUCUUUUUCACCAAUAAAACCGGGGACGAGAAUGGGCUGGUACUGGAUCGAAUGACACCCAUGGUGAGCAUUUCGUUGACUUGUUUUUCAAUCUCUGUCUUUUGAAAAUGUGCAUAUCUAUACGGCCUCACGUUGAUGGGUUCAGUGCCUUCUUUGAGGUUUAUGUGAUGAUCAUCAAUGUCUCGUUUGAGGUGGUAGUGUUGUUGGUUCUUUAAAUACAUCUGUGUACUCCUUCAAUAUUGUUGCAUGUCAGGAUUGCUGUCCACCCGGUGACCUUCUCAUUGGACUGUAAAUAGAUAGCAAACAACAAUUUGACCUUGACGCAUUUCUUUAGUAACUGAUGCCAAUGUUGUUGCUUGAAUGGGUUGGCUGAUUCCUUGUAAUCUUCGCUGCUGAUUAUCCCACUGGAAAUCCAUGGUUAAUUGUUUCCAGUUGCAAAUCAGAACCAAGCAUCUCUAGCCAUUGAUGCCUAACACCAUAUCCAGUCCUACUAAAGGUAAGGAAUAGAGGGAGAAGUGAAAACUGAAUAUCUUGCACAUUUACUUUUACCUCAUCAAAACGACAUUGACAGAAUAGUUGUUCCCCAUUUGCUAUGCGGACAACAAAUGAUUUCGUUGGUACCACUGGAAGUCUUAGCAAUCUAGCUAUCUUCUCACUCAAAAAAUUAUGGGUGGAUCCACUGUCAAUCAAAACCAUCACGUGUUGAGACCCUAUGGUAGCUGCUACUCGCAUGGUUUGAGGGGACGUCCAACCUGUUAAUGCAUGCAAGGAGAUUUCUGGUUCAACUUGAUCUCCCAUGGUAUCUGUUAUCUGAAAUUCUUCUUCUUCCAUUUCAUAUUCUGCAGGUUGACACUCAAGAAGCAAAAGUUGAGGCCUUUGGCACUUAUGUCCAGGAGUGAAUUUACUGUUGCAGUUGAAACAUAGUCCAUAUGCCCUUCGUUUCUGCAUUUCAUCCCAGCUCAAUCUCUUUGGUGCAUUAGCUGGAAUAGGAUGAUUAACUGGAGUGGUGGUAGUGGAUGUGCGGUUCAGCAGUGGAGGUCGUGUGAAUCUCCUUGUUCUGGCCAGUUGUUCAUCUCUUAUUCUUGCUAAGUUGAUGGCUUCCUUCAAUGUUCUUGGUUUAAACAUUCGAAUUCCAUCUGCUAUUUCAGACUUCAAUCCUCCCAUGAAUGUGCCGACAAGAGCCUUUUGUGUCCAACCAUGAACACGGUUACCUAAUCUUUCAAAGUCUUUUUGGUAGUCUCGCAGGGAUCCCACCUGACGAACUCUAGACAAUGCCUCAUCAAAGUCCUCACAGUCUGUUGGUCCAAAACGAGCCAACAAUUCUUCUUCAAAGAAUUCCCAGGUCACCAAUCGGCCUUCCUCUCUGUAAGUUUUAUGCAUCCAUUGCCACCAUUGGUUAGCUUCCCCUUCAAGGUGAAAAGAUGCUAGUGAUACCUUCUGAUUAUCAUUUGUGCCUUGAAAUUCAAAGAAUUGGGCUACUCUGCUCAGCCAUUCGGUUGGAUCUUCUCCGGAGUAUCUUGGGAAUGCCAGCUUUGCCAUAGUGGAUGAAAAAUUUUGUAUGUUGCUAUUGUUCCCUUCUCGGAUUGAAUGAAAGGAUCCUUCUCGCUGGUUGUUGCUAGACACUUCUCUGUUUGAUAGAAAAGCUUCUGAUAACCUGUUGAUAGUUUCUUCCAAAUGGUGCAACUUAUCUGCUAUGCCUAACUCCAGCUGCUGCAUUCCAUCUUGAACUCCACCAAGCCCAGCUUCCAAAGCUUCGAUCCUCUCUUUGUUGGACGCCAUUGUAACCUGGCUCUGAUACCAAUGAUAAGUCCCAAUCAAGAACAUAUAUAAUAUGAGCGAAUUGUAACUUUCUUAGGGUGAAAGCUAAACCACAAUUGUUUGUAUUAAUUCUCUGCCUUUAUUUCAUGCUAACGUUCCAAUAAAUAGAGUUUCAGCUUAACAAAUUAGCCUCAACUUCAGGAACUAACUAGCCUUAUUUUAAGGGAAAUACGUAACAACUUUGAAUGAGUAAAACAAUGCAAAACAACAGCAAUUGAAAGAAAUAUAAAAACUGAUACUUGGUCUUCACUUCAAGCUAAAAACUUGAUUCUUCUUAGGGAUUCUUUCAGAUCUUCUUGGCCUAUCAGUAUGCUCCUGCAGUUUCUUUUCUUUUUUUGUUCAUUCUCCUUAGUCUUUCUAUUCUCUGGUUUGUGUCUUCAGUCCACUCUCUCCUAGUCUCCUGUUCGUGUCCGCCCUACCUCUACUGAAAAGAGAUGGUUGCUACUGCUAUGGUUGAUGCAUGCUAGCUGAGGCUACUGUUGCUGAUCCAGGAGAAAGGGGCUGCGACUAACAGUCUAUUCGUGAACUCCCUUCCUGUGAGGCGGUCUUGGCAGAGAGAUGGACAGUGAUGGGGAAGGUAGAACAAGUGUGUAGUUUUUCUUGUUUGAGGGGGGAAGGAGCGCGUGUGCAGUUUGCUGGAAUUGCUGGAGUUCUUCUGCUGCUGCUGGCUAGAAGAGGCGUACCUUACUGGUUGUUGAUGCACGCUCACAAUGCAUGGAGAGGCUGAGAUGAAGGAUGAUGGUUAAUGGGGAGAGUGAGAGCGGGGAGGAUGAAAAAGGAAAAGGCCGAGGAGGGGGAAGGUGUGGCUGGUUUCAGACCAGGGAAGAACAGAGAAAAAAGUUGGGGGGGGGGGGAGGCAGCGGCGGUUAGUCUAGGAUUCUGCCGUGCACCCUCUGUUUUUGUAAAUAUCGUUUUUUGUAGGGUCUCGGGUAAUGGCCUUCUCUUGGGUUUUUUCUCCUUUUUUUUUUUUUGCUGGGUUUCUCUCCAAUUGUCCUCCCUUCUUUGCAUAGUCUGGGAUCAGUAUUUAUAGUGCAAGAGUCCCAUCACUUGUAAGAAGUAAAGUCUCAAUCAAACUCAUUCUCUUUUUUGAAAUUUAAAUUAGAAUCGAAUUCGAAAUCAGACAACUAUCAUUAUCUUGAAGGUAAGGAUUAUCUUGAAGAUAAGGAUUAUUUCAAAAGUAAGGAUUAUCUCAAAGAUAAAGAUAGAAUGGCAAAAGCACAUUAUAGUCCUUAAUUUUCACACAAGUUGACAAAUCACACUUUUCAUCGAAAUAAAUCUCUGAUUUUUUAAUUUUAUAUUUUAAACCUUGUAAAAAUUAAAUUAAAAGCCAAUGGGCCAAAAUUGGGUUAUGACAUCCUUAAUGAUAAAAAAAAAAAGAAGAAAAAACCAACAACAACUUGAAUAAAAAUAGGUAUUGUAAGAUUUAAAACAAUCACCAAAAGAUUUCAACUUAUACUCGAAACAACACAAAUCAUACAUUUAUUUUUGGUAUGUUGGUAGAUGAGAGAAUUGGUGGAGUACUUCGAUAAAGUCAACUUUUGGAGUUUUGCCCAGGCGUGUAUAUAUAUAAUUAUAUAUCCUUUAAUUUUGGAUUUUGACUGGGGCAACGGGGACUCUUUCUAGGUGUGACCCUAUUUUGUAAUUAUAUUAGAAUGUGUAAAUGAUUGAAGUCCUAACUUGUAAAAAAUGGUUGAAGUCGUAGCUAGGGGAAAUAACCAUACGAGAUUAAUAAUAAAGUGAAAGAGGUUUUUGAUAGAGGACAUAAACAUAGCUAAAAAAAAAUCCUGAUUUUUCUGUAGAGAAAUUACAAAGAAAAAGGUGUAAAUUUCGGACAGGCAAACAUGCUCAGUUUGACAUGUUCAGUGUUUGAGUAUACUCCUAUAUAUGAGCCGACGUCUUCUACAAAUAAUACAAGAAAGACAGAAUAUUCCAAAAGAACUGGGACCACAGAUGUGGGUCUACACUAUUAAGAAAUACCUAUGUAAAUAUUAAUAAUAUCUAUACUUGCAUAAAAUUAGCAAAAAUCAUAUCCAGCUAAUUUUGGAUCACGGCUUCAAAGCCUUAAUAGUAGGAUUGAUAGCAAGUUAUAAUUAUAUAUAUAUUGUACCGUUUGAUCUAUGAAAUACAACAAACCAUUCAGUAACUUAUUUUUAUGAUACACCAGUUACAUGCUAGCGGAUGUGGUCACCAAUUCACCAUAAGAUAAUCAACGAAGAAGUUGAGAGGUCGGAGUAAGAGCAUCACAUAAAGAAGAGUAAACAAAAACAAUCAUCAAAGUAUAACAAUUAAAAAAACAAUUGAAAAACUAGCACCCUUUGAGUUCGUAUUAAUUAAUCUACUAAUCAUUAAGAUACACUCCUAAAAAUAUAUUUUUAACAUUACUAUAUUAAAAUGAUCUAAAAAUACUAAAAAAUUAAUUUAAAGUAGAAACAAUAUUUUUAUUUUUUUAAAAAAACUUUGAAAUGAAAAAACAAAUGGACACUUGGUCCCUUGACCACUUCCAGGGAGCACUAGCGUAUAGUGUAUUCCAAGGAGGGAUUUUUCUUUUCCCUGUCUGUUUCUCCUAUUGGUUUCUUCCACAUCAUUUAUUUUAGUCUAAUUACAUCACAUUUGGGUUAAUUUUGGAUUACUAUUAAAGAAAGAUCAAAGAAAGGACACUCAAGACUUCAUUGACCUGAUCAUCUCGGAAGUGGUCAUUUGAUGAGUGUUUUCUGGCAGUCUCUCUUUGCUAUAUAUUGUCUACCAGGAAAUGAAGCUGCACAACUCAAAAUUAGUGGGAGAGAGUUGGUUUGGAGAAGGAGCUUCUUUGUAUACAUAUAUUAAGUUGGGUGGUGGUGUAUAGAAAAUGAUACUUCAGAGGAGGGUGUUUUUGGUGAUGAUGUUGCUGCUAGUGGCUGCAGUAACAGGAGCAACAGCAAAUCCAGAUGUGAGAGAUGGCUGCCAAGAAAGGUGUGGGGAUGUUAAUGUUCCUUACCCGUUUGGGAUUGGGGAACCAAGAUGUGCCAUGAAUGCAAACUUCUUUCUAGAUUGCACUUCUACUGAUGAACUGUGGUUAGGAGAGGACAUGCCUGCUCGCAAUAUAUCAUUGCUGAAUGGCACAGUCACUGUAAGCAUUUUUAUACCGUUCGAUUGCAAUAACACCUCACAAUCGGUAUCAAAGCCUACACAAGCUAUGACAUUGCAGCCGGUGUUUUCCAUUCCGUCUAUUAAACUUGGACCAGCCUACACAUUUUCAGACUCUCGAAAUGUGUUCACAGCAGUUGGCUGUGAUACAAUUUCCAUGGUGACCAACGAGGAGGAGACAUCCGGGGUUGGUUGUCUCUCUUUAUGCUCUGGAAAUGUUACCAUGUCAAAGGAGAAUCCCUGCUUGGGUUCUGGAUGCUGCCAGACCUCGAUUCCCAAGGGUCUCAAGUCUCUGAAUAUUGCCGUUCAGAGCAUUCGCGACUACGAGAAAUUUUCCGAAUUUAACCCCUGUGGCUUUGCAUUCCUUGAGAACAAAGACUCCCUUGACCUGUCGGAUUGGCCACUCUCUCGAACUCCAACAGAUUUGGAUACAUCAAAUGUUGUGAUCGAAUGGGUAGCUCAAAACGAGACAUGCGAAGAGGCUCAGGCCAAUAAGAGUUCAUAUGCUUGUGGCAUCAAUACAAAUUGCUAUUACUCUGAUAAUGGUCAAGGAUAUCGUUGCGCAUGCAAUGCAGGAUUCGAAGGAAACCCAUAUCUUGAAGGGUGCCAAGGUAAAGCGACAGAUGCCUUUACGAAUAUUGAUGAAACAAAACAACUUCUAAAUGCCAUAUCUUGUUCAUUCCUCUUCUCAGAUAUUGAUGAAACAAAACAACUUCUAAAUGCGUAGACUAAAUUGUAUUGAAUUAAGGUAAACUCAUAAUUUGUUAUGUUUGCAGAUAUUGAUGAGUGCAAGGAUCCUGAAACAUACAUGUGUCAUGGUAAAUGCCACAACACCUUCGGGGAUUACGAAUGUAAAUGUCCGCUUGGCAUGAGCGGCGAUGGCAAAAGAGGUUGCAGUGGGUUUGGGAUCAUCACAAUUAUUAUUUCAGGUAAUUAAUGUGCAUCCACUUCAAUACGUGGCAGUGGCAGGUGUUCCUUUUUUUUUCAACUAUCCUAUACGUAAUUUAUUAAUCCAAAACAUUUACUUUUGGGUUCAAAACAAAAGAACCGAACUAAUAUAUAGUUCACUUACAAAAUUAGACUAAUCGAAAAACUAGUUUAUUUUUUAUUUUAAAAAAUAUUCAAAAUAUUAAAAUCUUCAAUCGUAGAGUUUUAUUUGAAAAUAAUUGAAAAGUGAUGGCACUUCCCUCGCUACUGCUUUGUUGCAUAUGCCACUCAAAGUCAAUAUUUAAGAACAAGUUAUUCUAACAUAGGGUUUAAAAAAAAAAAAAAAGUUUACCACGUUUGUCUUUAUUGAAAAUCUUAUGAUAAUUCAAAAAAAAAAAUUCUUCAAAAUUUUAAAGGAAUAAUUAUUUUUUCUUGAAAAGCUAUGACAACCUUUUCGAAGAUGCUCAAAAAGUGGAUCAUCUUUGUCUUUCAUGGAAAUUUCAUAAAAUAUAAAAAAUUAAUUUUUUAAAACAAAUUUAAAUUCGUUAAAACUUUAAAGGAAUCAGAAAAUUUCAAAAUUGCUUAUUGAUUAACAUUUUUUUUGCAAUAUAAUAAUGAUUAAUGACUCAAACGUAUAAUAUGUAUAGAUAUUCAUAUCUAUUAUAUUAAAACUUAUAGAUUUUUUAUAAUUGAUGAAUUGAAAAUAUACUUUUAUAUAUAGUGACAUAUUGAACAGUAGGGUUAGACUGAGCUAUUUAUCUUAUUAAGUAUUAAAAUUGUUUAGGAACAUGGUACAACCUAUAUUAAAAUUAUAAGUUAUUGCUUAUGAUGUUUGUUAUUAUUAUUAUUAUUUUAUUAAUGCGGGUUUACCAUCUUCCAGAAGAGACUAUUAAUGUGAAUAUUAAAUAACAACAAAUCAUGAAAUUAUUAUUAUUGGUUUUUUUUUUCCCUGAGAAAUGCAGUUGUUGUUGAGUUGUUGGAGUGUUGUUACUGCUCCUUGGAGGUUGGUGGCUGUACAAAAUUGUUGUAACCCAUUUUUGGGUCCCCCUGAAAAAUAAAAUAAAUAACCAAAAGAGGUUAGGAAAAUAACCGGAAGCAGAAGCGCCCGGAAAGCAGUCAGAAAAUUGGUCAAGGAAUUUUAAAAAUACAAGGAUUGAAUUUUUUUACAGUAUAUUCUUGAAGGAUGAAAGCCCUAUUGAGAAGGAAAAUUUUUGAAUUUUAGGGAGAAAAGCCCAAAUUUGGAUUUUUAUGGGCUUAAUUGGAUUUUUAUGGGCUUAAUUGGAUUUUUAUGGACUUAAUUGGAUUUUUAUUUGAAUUUAUAGAAGAUUUGAUUCCAAGAAAAAUUGAUUUUUAAGUCAAUUUGGGCUUUAAUUUGGAGAAAUUUAAGUUCUGGGGCCAAAAUAUAUUUUUUAGGAAUUUAUUGGGUCAAAUCAGGGGCUCAAUUGCAUAAAUAUUGAAGUUUAAGGGCCAAUUAGGGGUUUAAUUAAGAAAAUUCGAAACCAGGGACCAAAUUGCAAGAGGCGCGUAAAUGGAGGGGCUGCAAUUAUUCGGUUCAGGGGCCUAAUUGAAGAAAUUGAAAGUUUAUUAAUCAAUUAGGGGCUCAAUUGCAUAAAUCAGAGGCCAAGGACCAAAGUGAAAAAGGCGGCCAACAAGGGGGACGGGGACCGAAUUUGGAGGACUGAUUUGAGGUUUAGCCGUUUAAAUGAAACGGCGCGUUUUACCCAAAACGACGCCGUUUCAUAUAUAUAUAAUAUAUAUAAAAAAAAAAAAAAAAAGAGGAAGAUCAGAACGGUGUCGUUUUGAACGACACUGUUCAUCUUCCUCCUCCCCCGUUUCAACAGAACAGAAACGAAAGAAAAAAAAGGGAAAAAUUUCAAAACUUCCCGCCUCUCUCUCCUCGUCCCCACCACCACCACCGAAAGCAAGAAUGGCCGACCAGCCGUUGCGUGAUUGAAGGCGCACUAACGAAGGCACGCCGUUUCCUUUUUGCUUAUAAAUAGAGAGAGGCCGAGAGGAGAGAGAGGGGACCGAAGAGAGAGAAGAGAAAAAAAAAAAGAGAGGGACGAGACCGAAGAGAGAGAUAGAACCAGUGAGAUAGAGGGGAAGAGAAAAGAAUAAAAAGAAAAACAAAAAGAAAAGAAAACAGAAAACAAAGAGAAAGGAAGGAAAGGAAGAGGGGAAGAGGAAGGAAAUCUGUUCUCUCCGCCGCAGCAACACCACAGCGCCGCCGUCCUCGAGGCCACGACACCGCAGCUCCACCAACGGUCGCCUCCACGCCAGGUGCACACCCCCCCCCCUUUGCAUUUUUUUUCUUUUGUUUUCGCCUGGCCUCCUGCAUGUUGCAUGCAGGAGGCGGGGGGGGGGGAGAAAAAUAAUUCUCCCCCCCCCGCUGGGUUUUAAGGCACUGGGCCAGCCCGAUGCUGGCCCAGCCUUGUAAGUCUGGGCCGGUCUUGGCCCAGACUGUAGAAGUUACGGGCCGAGACCGGCCCACGUUAGUUACGGGCCGAGACCGGCCCAAUAUCAUUGCGGGCCGAGACCGGCCCGCCCCCUUUAUUAUAUAUUUUUUUUUGGGCUGAGCCUGGCCCAUUUAUUUGGGCCGGCCCAGCCCUAUAAUAUAUUAUAUAUUAUUAUAAUAUAUAUAUAUAUGUGUAUAUAUAUAAAAUAUAAUAAUAAAAAAAAUAAAUAUUUUGAAAAAAUCUUUAAAAAAUAUUGUUGAUUUUUCUGCAUAUUUUUAUAAAAAUGGUUUAAUUUUGUUUUGUAUUUUUAUACUGUAAAGAUACAAAACCAGUGUUAUAAAUACCCGGUUUUCGUCAAAACAUCAAAGAUUUUCAGAAUAAAAAAUGUUUUUGCUUUCAAAAAAAUUUCUAAAAAUUCCCUAAAAAUGUUGUUGAUUUUUCUGCAUAUUUUUAUAAAAGGAUUAAUAUUGGGUUGUAUUUUUAUACCGUAAGGAUACAAGCUCAGUAUUAAAAUACCCGAUUUUCGUCAAAGCAUAAAAAAAAUAAUAUUUUCUAAAAAUUGUUUUUGUUUUAAAAUACGGCCUAGUCUCUCCAAUAUAUAUACAUAAAUAUUAUAACAUCAUAUUUUCACACAACAAAGAAAAUUUUCAAAACAAUAUAUGUAUUAACAUGCAUUUUGGCUUUAAUAACCAGUUUAUUCAAGCCAUGAGAACUAGGCCAAUAUUUCAAAAAUUCUAAAAAAUCUUUUUGUUUUCUUUUAGUAUUUGGGAUUACGAAUUUAUACGUAAAACGUAUUCCUAAUAUUAUUAAUAAAAUUUUGGUAUGGACGUUAGAACGGUUAGGAUUUUUACCCGAUAAGAUAAAGACCUCUUACUGAGGAGGAUUUUUCUUGAACCAUAGACAGACCAACAACUAGGAAAACACAAUAACACUUUAGUUUUUUUUUAUCAGACAAUAAAACAAUGCAGCUUACCUUAGGUAGGGCGUAUUUGGGGUGCUAAUACCUUUACGCCCAGUCUCCGUACCCGAUCUCUGAGACCAGUUAGGUUCCUAGUGACCAAAAUACUAGGUGGCGACUCCAAAGAACCAAAUAAAUAAAAUAAAAAAUUCGCCAGUCGAACCCGCAAUUGAAAUGAAUUUUUUUUUUUGGGGUGCGACAGAAUGGCGACUCCACUGGGGACCUUGUAGACUAAGCUUUGUUUUUGUCUGAUUUAUUUGUGUUUGUGAUAUGCCUUUCCUUUUAUUUAAUCGCGUAUUUGUUUUUAUUUUUACGCGCAUAUUAUUCAUGCAUUAUAUACAAUUGUCUCAUGCAUCACUUGCCUUAAUUUUGAAAAGCACACACAAGCUUUAAGUUAAGUGGGGAAUUAGCGAUUUACCCUAAGACUAUUGGUCAGGGUUUAAAUGCGUGAAACACCCAACUCAUAUCUGAGUGCCUGCUUGGUAAUGGUGGGCAUACGUGUCUUAACUGUUCCUUGCAACGCCCCCAUACUUCUUUACGAAGAACGUCACUGGGCAGAUAUGAGAACCUUCAAGACUAGAUAGAAAAACUACCCACUCUCACUUAAUAAAUAGAGCUUGUCCUUAGGUUAUGUAUCUUAUUUGCAUCAAGAUAAUAAUGAUAUACUCAUCGCACAUCACUUGUGCAUCACAUUUUCAUCACGCAUUUUGUUAUCAUAUGCAUUACAGAUCGUGAAACAUAGGUCCACAUCCAGAGUCCACCAAACCCGGUCCAGAUCAAGAAUGGAAAACGAAGAAAGAGCUCAUUAGAGUCGCACUACCAGACCGAGUUGGAAUCUGUGAAAAAUGAAGUUUCUCGACUGACCAAUCUGCUUGAGCAACUUUUAAGAGCCAAGAACGGGGAGGGAACAUCUACCCAACCACCUAUAGGAGCACCGUCAGUUCAUGUCCGGGGUAUCUCAGAACUUGGGGGCAGAUUCAGUGACGGGGCAGCACUUUGCACCUACCAUUCAGCCCCCUCAAGCUCACAUCACAGAAGGGCCUCCGAUAAUAGGUCCACGGAUUUAUGAACGAUGACAAGAUAUCAGCCUUGGAAGAAAGGUUAAGAGCAGUCGAGGGAAAUGACUGGUUUGACCCCAUGCGAGUCUGAAAUAUGCUUGGUACCAAACAUCACGUACCAAAAAAAUUUAGGAUACCGGAGUUUAUAAAGUACACUGGGUUGGAAUGCCCAAACACUCACCUUCGAUCUUAUUGCAAUAAGAUGGCUGAGGUGAUUCAUGACGAUAAGUUACUGAUCUACUUUUUCCAAGAUAGUCUAUCGGGGUCGGCGCUAAGUUGGUACAUGAGGUUGGAUAAUGCCAAGAUCAAGAAAUGGAAGGAUUUAGUUGAGGCUUUCCUUAAGCAAUACAAGUUCAAUUUGGAAAUUGCUCCAGAUCGAACGAGCCUUAUGUCAAUGGAAAAGAGAAGCCAAGAAUCAGUAAGGGCUUAUGCGCAAAGGUGGAGGGACGAGGCCAUGCAUGUGCAACCCCCUUUGAUAGAAACGGAGAUGGUGACUUUGUUCGCCAAUACAUUCAAGGCACCCUACUAUGAGCAUUUAAUGGGUAGCUCAUCUCAACAUUUCUAUGAUGUUGUACGCAUAGCGGAAAGAAUAGAGCAAGGGAUUAAAGCUGGACGCAUAAUUGAGCCAUUGGAGACAAAGGGUUUUUCGGAAGAAAAAUGAAAGGUCCCGUUAACAACUUCGAAGGUGGGUCCAAUGACAAGAUAACAGAUUCAUAUAACCCACAAAUACCUACCUCUCAUGUGGCCCACAUAAACUUUAACAAACCUUUUUCCCCUAAUCGAGCAAAUGGCCAGUCAAACACCCAAAACAACCACCAACGACCAAACACAAGAUACAUUUCAGAACAACUACCGCCAUUACCCAUGCCUCUGAAGGAUAUAUAUGCCAAACUACUAAGCAUUGGACAAAUAGCUCCUAUCCCUACAUUACCACUACAGCCACCAUUCCCCAUCUGGUAUAAGCCCGAGUUGACUUGCGAGUACCAUGCUGGUAUUCCCGGGCAUUGUCUUGAAACGUGCUACGGUUUCAAGAACAAGUUGUUGAAGCUCAUCAAGAUAGGAUGGGUGUCAUUUGAAGACACACCCAAUAUCAAUUCAAAUCCAUUGCAUGGUCAUGACAAAAGUGAUAGGGGAUAAAGGUUGGAAAACCUUGGUCAAGAGUCGUCAAUAAUGAAGAAGGCGAGAUCGAAGGAGAAGACAAGGAAAUGCAAGUGGGGAAGGAAGAUGAAGCAUUGCCUCGGUUGACUUUCCACACACUAGAAGAAGUUUCAGAACGGGUUGACCCAAGAACUUCUCGUAGUUUUCAAAAUGUAAAACAACUUUAUUUGCCUUAGCAUGUUUUUGUCAUUUGCUUUUGUCUUUGCUUUUAUUUUCUCUAGUGAGCAUUCAGAGCUCAUAUUGUCAGCCAGAUUUUUGUGUUUGUCUUUGAGCUUACCUUUUCUUUAAAUAAAUGAUGAGUUUAUGCAUUUUUUUUAACAAGUUUGAGUGGUUACAAAUAAAGUAUCAAUAAAAUGGUUUAAUAUGAAAUUUAAGAAAAGCUAACCCUAAAGUACAACCCUAUCUCUGAUAGCAUGGAUAAAUGUUUAAGUGGUCACUUUGUAAUUGUUCUUUUAAAGAAUAGAGUUUAUCAACCAUAACAAUGGCAUUUUGAAAUAAAAAAAAAUCAUUAUCUAUUCACUCACUAAAAAAGUUUAUCACCGGCUGAAUGAAUUGCUUCUCUAUAUAAAAACCCAGACUAAUAUCGCACCCCUAUACUAGGGGGCAAGACGGAUGUUUUAUGAAAAGUUUUACGAUUUGAAAACCAAGCUAAAGCAUUUGACAAAAGCAUGACAAAGAGGCAAAUACAAGUCAUACAUUUUGAGAAAAGGACUACUUGAAGAAAGUCAAAGACUUUUCUCCAAGAAUAUGAUAGGCAACACGAGAGAUGAAUCCAGCAUACGACUUCAAAAGCAAGUUCAUGUUAAGAGGGAGUCCCAUGAACUAGAAGAAGAGGAUGGGGCCUAUGUUUCAAAACCAGGUACGAAUGCAUGCAUUGCAUCUAAUCAUAAAUCAUUGCAUAUAUGUUUUUUUUGGAUCGUUACAGGAGGAGAUCUUAGCGCAUUCCAACAAGAUUAUGGACGAAGAAAAGAAUCAUUGAGUUGAUUCUAGAACAACAAGAAGAGGAAAACAUAUGGGAAUUCACAAAAUUAAUAGAACAACACGAACAGGCUUGGAGGCCCGCUAAAGAGGAACUGGAAACCAUAAAUGUAGGCAAUGAAGAAGUCAAGCGAGAGCUGAAGAUAGGGACUUUGAUCACCCCCGAAGCAAAGGAAGAGUUGAUUGCACUGCUCAAGGAUUAUGUGGAUGUCUUUGCCUGGUCUUACGAGGAUAUCUGGAUACGGACAUGUGGUGCAUAGAAUACCACUGAUGGAACAAGCCGAUUAAGCAGAAGUUAAGGAGAACUCAUCCAGAGGUCUUAAUCAAAGUAAAGGCGGAAAUUGAAAAACAAUGGGACGCUGGUUUUUUGGAAGUAGUGAAGUAUCCACAAUGGGUGUCAAACAUAGUGGUGGUACCCAAAAAGGAAGGUAAAAUCAGGGUUUGCGUGGACUUUAGGGAUUUAAACCGGGCUAGCCCUAAAGAUAAUUUCCCUUUACCACACAUAGAUAUGUUAGUUGAUAAUGCAGCACGCAGCUCCACAUAUUCCUUCAUGGAUGGGUUUUCAGGCUACAAUCAGAUAAGAAUGGCGCCAGAGGAUAGGGAGAAGACGACCUUUGUAACACCAUGGGGAACCUUUUGCUACAAAGUCAUGCCAUUUGGUUUAAAGAAUGCUGGGGCCACUUACCAAAGGGCUAUGGUGACUUUGUUUCACGACAUGAUGCACAAAGAGAUUGAAGUAUACGUGGAUGACAUGGUUGCUAAAUCUAAAGAGGGAGAGAAUCAUGUCCAAGUAUUGAAGAAAUUAUUUGAAAGAUUAAGGAAAUAUAAGUUGAGGCUUAACCCAGCAAAGUGCUCAUUCGGGGUGAAAUCCGGUAAGCUGUUGGGAUUUGUGGUGAGUGACAAAGGGAUAGAAGUGGAUCCUGAAAAAGUAAAAGCUAUUCAAUCUAUCCACCCCCAAGACUGAGAAGGAGGUGAGAGGUUUCUUAGGAAGGUUGAAUUACAUCGCUCGGUUUAUAUCCCAUUUAACCGCGACUUGUGACCCGAUCUUUCGUUUGUUGAGGAAGAAGAACCCUGGAAUAUGGAAUGAAGAGUGUGAUAAAGCUUUUGAGAAAAUCAAGCAGUACUUGCUAAAUCCACCUCUGCUUGUUCCUCCCGUACCAGAAAGGCCAUUGAUUUUAUACCUAACAGUAACCGAAACAGCAAUGGGAUGUGUGCUUGGGCAACAUGAUGAAACCGGAAGAAAGGAAAGGGCCAUUUAUUACCUAAGCAAGAAGUUCACGGAAUAUGAGUCUAGGUAUACUGUGGUUGAGAAGCUGUGAUGCGCACUAGCAUGGGCUACAAAGAGAUUACGUCAGUAUAUGUUGUAUCACACUACAUGGUUAAUUUCCAAUUUAGACCCAUUAAGGUACAUUUGUGAGAAACCUUAUCUAUCUAGCCGAAUUGCAAGAUGGCAAGUUCUUUUAGCUGAGUAUGACAUAGUAUAUAUGACAAGGAAAGCCGUGAAAGGGAGUGUUAUUGCCGAUCACCUGGCUGACCAUGCUAUGGAAGAUUAUGAGCCGUUAAACUUUGACUUUCCCGAUGAAGAUGUGCUUGCAAUCGAGGAAGAGAAAUCAGAUUGGUGGGUUAUGUACUUUGAUGGUGCUGUAAAUGUAUGUGGUAACGGAGCGGGGGCAGUGAUAAUCUCUCCUGAUAAGAAGCAGUAUCCGGUUUCAGUUAAGCUGCAGUUCGGGUGUACCAACAACACGGCUGAGUAUGAAGCUUGUAUUCUUGGUUUAGAGGCUGCUUUAGAGAUGAACAUAAGAAAGAUAGAUGUGUAUGGAGAUUCAAUGCUGAUUAUUUGCCAAGUAAAAGGAGAAUGGCAAACCAAAGAAGAGAAGUUAAGGCCUUACCAAGAAUACCUGUCUCAGUUAGCUAAAGAAUUUGAGGAAAUAGAGUUCACCCAUCUGGGAAGAGAAGGGAACCAAUUUGCAGAUGCUUUGGCCACACUAGCAUCUAUGGCCAAGAUAGACUUUGGGCACAAGGUACAGCCAGUACACAUCAAUAUCAGAAAUAACCCCGCUCAUUGUUGCUCAGUCGAAAGAGAAGUGGAUGGAAACCCGUGGUACUAUGAUAUCAAGAAUUUCAUCCAAAACCAGGCAUAUCCCAUGGGGGCAUCCAAAAUCGACAAAAAGACCUUGAGAAGAUUGGCAAUGGAUUUUUAUCUUGAUGGGGAGAUUUUGUAUAAGAAAUCAUUUGACGGGACUUUGUUGAGAUGAUGUUUGGAUGAAUUUGAGGCAAAAAGCACAGUACGGGAAGUCCAUGAAGGGAUUUGCUCAACUCAUGCCAGUGGACAUGUGAUGGCCAAGAAGAUACAAAGAGUCGGGUACUUCUGGAUGACGUUAGAGAAGGAUUGUAUCGAUUAUGUCCGGAAAUGUCAUAAGUGCCAAGUAUACAGUGACAAAAUCAAUGCUCCUCCGGCUCCUCUGUUUAAUUUAACAUCUCCAUGGCCCUUCGCGAUGUGGGGAAUUGAUGUGAUUGGACCGGUAAAUCCAAAAGCCAGCAAUGGUCAUAGGUUUAUUCUAGUGGCUAUCGACUACUUCACAAAAUGGGUAGAAGCUGGGUCAUUUGCUCAUGUGACGCAAAAAGUGGUGAAGAAAUUUAUUGAGAGAGAUUUGAUAUGUCGGUAUGGGCCACCAGAAAAGAUUAUAACGGAUAACGCCCAGAAUUUCAACGGCAAGAUGAUAAUAGAGCUCUGCACUAAAUGGAAAAUCAAGCAUUCCAAUUCUUCGCCAUAUAGACCAAAGAUGAAUGGUGCGGUAGAAGCUGCUAACAAGAAUGUCAAAAAGAUUAUUCAGAAGAUGGUAGUCACCUAUAAGGAUUGGCAUGAGAUGUUGCCAUUUGCCCUUCAUGCAUAUCGCACCGCAGUUCGAACCUCAACAGGAGCUACCCCGUAUAUGUUGGUAUAUGGAAUGGAGGCGGUGAUGCCUUUAGAAGUGGAAAUCCCAUCAUUGAGAGUGUUGUUAGACUCUGAGUUGGAAGAGGUAGAAUGGGCAAAGGUUAGAUAUGAACAGUUGAAUCUGAUCAGUGAAAAGAGGAUAGCCGCGAUCUGUCAUCAUCAACUCUACCAAAGAAGGAUGGCUAAAUCAUAUGACAAGAAGGUUCGACCUCGAGGAUUCCACGAAGGAGAUCUUGUACUAAAGAAAAUAUUACCUUUACCUGGAGAAGAUCAGAGUAAAUGGGCACCUAACUACGAGGGACCUUACGUGGUGAGGAAAGCAUUCUCAGGAGGAGCUUUGUUACUGUCUAGAAUGGAUGGAGAAGAUCUAGCUAGGCCUGUGAAUUCCGACUCUGUAAAGAAAUACUACGCUUGAUGUAUUUCAUAAUUUCCCAAUAAAAAAAAAAUAUAUAUAUAAGUUUCGGCCAUGAAUUCUCUUUGUGAAGUUUCCUUUUAUAUAUGUAUUUAACAUAUGAUCUCAUAGCAUUUUGAAUCUUUUUUGGCAUGACUAAAUCAAAUCUACUUGACAUAUAGUUGCACAUCACACUAGGGGGCAAAAGGUGCACAACAUGCACAUAGGGGUUCAUAGUAAACCCAAUCCCAAAAGGGAUAUCAUCAUAAAAAGUUUCUAUAAAAAAAAAAAAAAAAAGCAUUUUUUAUAAAAUUUGCUAAUUGCAUCAAAGGUUUCAGUUUUCAUGAACAAAACCAAUUUUUUUUCUUUGGCGCAAAACUCAAUGAAGCAAGAAAGGGCCCCAUAAGGAACCAAAGAUCUCUUCACUAAAAGGACAUGAAGGAUAUUUCGGUUCAUGAGAAAAGCUUGAAACAAGAGCAAAGAGGUUUAUGAUGAAAGGGGGACCUAUGUUUCCAAGAUAGGUAACAAAAACAUACAUGCAUAUUAACCAUAAUAUAUUGCUUUCAACAUUUGUCAGAUCGGGAUUUCAUCACCAUUUCUCAGGUAGUGCGUUUUCUAACCCUACCUCUUUUCGAGUGCGCUGUUUGAGCCCUCACUUUUUGGGUAGUGCGUUUUCUAACCCUACUUCUUUUCGAGUGCGCUGUUUGACUCACUUUUGGGUAGUGCGUUUUCUAACCCUACCUCUUUUUGAAUGCGCCGUUUGAGCCCUCACUUCUCGGGUAGUGCGUUUUCUAAACCCUACCUCUUUUCGAGUGCGCCUUUGAGCCCUCACCAACAUUUUUUCUGGGUAGGUCACCCAUUACAACGCGACCAUUUUCUCCAUAUUUUUAUUUGGGCAGGUCACCCAUCACAAUGAGACCAUACUUUUCUGGGUAGGUCACCCAUAAGAAUGAGACCAUUCUUCAUUUUUUUGUUUAUCUGGGUAGGUCACCCAUAAGAAUGAGGCCAUUCCUUCCCCUGGGUAGGUCACCCAAAGAAUGAGACCACUCUUCCUUUUUCUGGGUAGGUCACCCAUCACAAUGAGACCAUAUUUUUCUGGGUAGGUCACCCAUCACAAUGAGACCAUAUUUUCUGGGUAGGUCACCCAUCACAAUGAGACCAUAUUUUCUGGGUAGGUCACCCAUCACAAUGAGACCAUAUUUUUCUGGGUAGGUCACCCAUCACAAUGAGACCAUAUUUUCUGGGUAGGUCACCCAUCACAAUGAGACCAUAUUUUCUGGGUAGGUCACCCAUAAGAAUGAGACCAUUCUCCAUUUUUUUUUACCUGGGUAGGUCACCCAUAAUAAUGAGGCCAUCCUUUCCCCUGGGUAGGUCACCCAAAGAAUGAGACCAUUCUUUCUCUUUUCCACUCGGGCAGGUCACCCAUCAUAAUGAGACCACACACACAUUUUUUGUAUUGGUUAUGAGUAAAGGGAUCGCCGGAGGGGAUUCCAGGUUAAAGAAGAUCACUAGAUAAGAUCUCGGAUGGAUUUCCAUGUUGAUCAAACUAAAAUAAGAAUUCAGAGGAUCGCUGGAUAAGGAUCUCGAGAUGACUAAGUUUCGAUCAUUGGUCUUUUGGGGUUAAGGAGGAUUGUUAAAAAGGACAAAGUUUUAGAUCAAUCAAGCUUCGACCAGAUCAGUUUCGGGAGUUCCGUUUUGGGUUUAUCUUUAUAACACUUACUGCGCAAAACCCAUGCUCCGUAAGUAUUAUAAAGAGGGGGCAUCUGUUGUAACCCAUUUUUGGGUCCCCCUGAAAAAUAAAAUAAAUAGCCAAAAGAGGUUAGGAAAAUAACCGGAAGCAGAAGCGCCCGGAAAGCAGUCAGAAAAUUGGUCAAGGAAUUUUAAAAAUACAAGGAUUGAAUUUUUUACAGUAUAUUCUUGAAGGAUGAAAGCCCUAUUGAGAAGGAAAAUUUUUGAAUUUUAGGGAGAAAAGCCCAAAUUUGGAUUUUUAUGGGCUUAAUUGGAUUUUUAUGGGCUUAAUUGGAUUUUUAUUUGAAUUUAUAGAAGAUUUGAUUCCAAGAAAAAUUGAUUUUUAAGUCAAUUUGGGCUUUAAUUUGGAGAAAUUUAAGUUCUGGGGCCAAAAUAUAUUUUUUAGGAAUUUAUUGGGUCAAAUCAGGGGCUCAAUUGCAUAAAUAUUGAAGUUUAAGGGCCAAUUAGGGGUUUAAUUAAGAAAAUUCGAAACCAGGGACCAAAUUGCAAGAGGCGCGUAAAUGGAGGGGCUGCAAUUAUUCGGUUCAGGGGCCUAAUUGAAGAAAUUGAAAGUUUAUUAAUCAAUUAGGGGCUCAAUUGCAUAAAUCAGAGGCCAAGGACCAAAGUGAAAAAGGCGGCCAACAAGGGGGACGGGGACCGAAUUUGGAGGACUGAUUUGAGGUUUAGCCGUUUAAAUGAAACGGCGCGUUUUACCCAAAACGACGCCGUUUCAUAUAUAUAUAUAUAAAAAAAAAAAGAAAAAAGAAAAAAAAGAGGAAGAUCAGAACGGUGUCGUUUUGAACGACACUGUUCAUCUUCCUCCUCCCCCGUUUCAACAGAACAGAAACGAAAGAAAAAAAAGGGAAAAAUUUCAAAACUUCCCGCCUCUCUCUCCUCGUCCCCACCACCACCACCGAAAGCAAGAAUGGCCGACCAGCCGUUGCGUGAUUGAAGGCGCACUAACGAAGGCACGCCGUUUCCUUUUUGCUUAUAAAUAGAGAGAGGCCAAGAGGAGAGAGAGGGGACCGAAGAGAGAGAAGAGAAAAAAAAAAAAGAGAGGGACGAGACCGAAGAGAGAGAUAGAACCAGUGAGAUAGAGGGGAAGAGAAAAGAAUAAAAAGAAAAACAAAAAGAAAAGAAAACAGAAAACAAAGAGAAAGGAAGGAAAGGAAGAGGGGAAGAGGAAGGAAAUCUGUUCUCUCCGCCGCAGCAACACCACAGCGCCGCCGUCCUCGAGGCCACGACACCGCAGCUCCACCAACGGUCGCCUCCACGCCAGGUGCACACCCCCCCCCCCUUUGCAUUUUUUUUCUUUUGUUUUCGCCUGGCCUCCUGCAUGUUGCAUGCAGGAGGCGGGGGGGGGAGAAAAAUAAUUCUCCCCCCCCCGCUGGGUUUUAAGGCACUGGGCCAACCCGAUGCUGGCCCAGCCUUGUAAGUCUGGGCCGGUCUUGGCCCAGACUGUAGAAGUUACGGGUCGAGACCGGCCACGUUAGUUACGGGCCGAGACCGGCACAAUAUCAUUGCGGGCCGAGACCUGCCCGGCCCCUUUAUUAUAUAUUUUUUUUUUGGGCUGAGCCUGGCCCAUUUAUUUGGGCCGGCCCAGCCCUAUAUUAUAUAUUAUAUAUAAUAUAUAUAUAUAUAUAUAUAUAUAUAUAUAUAUAUAUAUGUGUAUAUAUAUAAAAUAUAAUAAUAAAAAAAAUAAAUAUUUUGAAAAAAUCUUUAAAAAAUAUUGUUGAUUUUUCUGCAUAUUUUUAUCAAAAUGGUUUAAUUUUGUUUUGUAUUUUUAUACUGUAAAGAUACAAAACCAGUGUUAUAAAUACCCGGUUUUCGUCAAAAUAUCAAAGAUUUUCAGAAUAAAAAAUGUUUUUGCUUUCAAAAAAAAAAUUCUAAAAAGUCCUUAAAAAUGUUGUUGAUUUUUCUGCAUAUUUUAUCAAAAAUGGUUUAAUUUUGGUUUGUAUUUUUAUACCGUAAGGAUACAAGCUCAGUGUUAUAAAUACCCGAUUUUCGUCAAAGCAUAGAAAAAAAUAAUAUUUUCUAAAAAAUUGUUUUUUUGUUUUAAAAUACGGCCUAGUUUCUCCAAUAUAUAUCCAUAAAUAUUAUAACAUCAUAUUUUCACACAACAAAGAAAAUUUUCAAAACAAUAUAUGUAUUAACAUGCAUUUUGGCUUUAAUAACCAGUUUAUUCAAGCCACGAGAACUAGGCCAAUAUUUCAAAAAUUCUAAAAAAAUCUUUUUGUUUUCUUUUAAUAUUUGGGAUUACGAAUUUAUACGUAAAACGUAUUCCUAAAUAUUAUUAAUAAAAUUUUGGUAUGGACGUUAGAACGGUUAGGAUUUUUUACCCGAUAAGAUAAAGACCUCCUUACUGAGGGGGAUUUUUCUUGAACCAUAGACAGACCAACAACUAGGAAAACACAAUAACACUUUAGUUUUUAUUUAUUUAUCAGACAAUAAAACAAUGCAGCUUACCUUAGGUAGGGCGUAUUUGGGGUGCUAAUACCUUCCCUUUACGCAACCAGUCUCCGUACCCGAUCUCUGAAACCAGUUAGGUUCCUAGUGACCAAAAUACUAGGUGGCGACUCCAAAGAACCAAAUCAAAUAAAAAUAAAAAAUUUCGCCAGUCGAACCCGCAAUGGAAAUAGAUAUUUUUUUUUUUUUGGGGUGCGACAAAAAUCAUGAAGAAAAGGAAGAGCAUCGAACUGAAACAGAAGUUUUUCAGACAGAAUGGUGGUCUCUUGUUACAACAACAAUUAUCCUCAAGUGAUCAAGGUAUUUCCAAAACCAAAGUAUUUUGCUCAGAGGAGUUGGAAACUGCCACAGAUGGUUUCAAUGUGAACAGGAUACUUGGUCAAGGUGGCCAAGGUACCGUGUACAAAGGGAUGCUAGCAGAUGGAGUAAUUGUUGCGGUCAAAAGGUCCACAAUGGUGAGUGAAGAAAACCUUGAAGGAUUCAUCAACGAGGUUUGUAUUCUUUCACAAAUCAACCAAAGAAAUAUAGUCAGGCUACUUGGUUGCUGUUUGGAGGCAGAAGUUCCUCUUUUAGUUUAUGAAUUUAUUCCUAAUGGAACUCUUUACGAGUAUCUCCAUCGCCAAAAUGAGGAGUUCCCUUUAUCAUGGGAAAUGAGAUAACAGAUUGCUGCUGAAACUGCCGGAGCACUUUGCUAUCUUCACUCAGCAGCUUCCAUUCCAAUUUAUCAUCGAGAUAUAAAGUCCACCAACAUACUCUUAGAUCACAAGUAUCGCGCCAAGAUUGCCGAUUUCGGGACUUCAAGAUCACUCUCCGUUGAUCAAACUCAUUUGACGACUAAUGUGCAAGGCACCUUUGGUUACUUGGACCCAGAAUACUUUUGGUCCAGUCAGUAUACAGAUAAGAGUGAUGUCUAUAGUUUUGGAGUAGUUCUUGCUGAGCUCUUAACUAGACAAAAAGCAGUUCUUACAAACGAGUCACAAGAACGCACAAACUUGGCUGCACAUUUUGUUCUUUUGAUGGAAGAGAACAAAAUUUUUUAUAUUGUUGAUGCUCAAAUUAAGGAGCACUGCCCCAAGGAGGAUGUCAUCGGUGUAGCUAAUAUUGCAAUGAGAUGCUUGAAUUUGAACGGAAAAAUGCGACCGACAAUGAAACAAGUCACAUCAGAGUUGGAGAGGAUCAUUCAAUUGUCACAAAAGCAGGACAUUCCAUAAAAUAACGAAGAAGCUGAUCAGGGCAUCACGGCUGAAGUAAUCAGUGCGUGGGAUGAUGCUUCUACAUCAAUUACUUGCACUAGUUUUCAAGUUGAUCAAGCUCUAUCAUCAUCAGAUGUCGAACCUUUGGUCCCUUUCAAGACUUGGUGAUCCAUUAAUAAGAAACGUGUCUCGAAUCUGCAAGUUUUUCCUUUUUCUUUUUUCCUAAUGUUCUUGGAUAAACUUAAGACCAUUUGUUUCGGUAUUUGUUUUGCGAAAAUGCUUUAAGCCAUUGUUGUCACUGUUUUUUCUUCUAUAUAAAUCUUGCUCACUUUCUCCUUAAUCUUAUUAUUUCUCUUCUCAUCCUGGGAAAAUAUAGCAAAUCACAAGAAGAAAUGGAGUGAUCUUGGUGUGCCUAGAAGGGACAUCUUUGAAUGCUUGAGUUUCUGGGCCAUCCACUGAAGCAAAAUGGAAACUGGUUUUUUAGAGUCCCUCCUCAGAUUGUUGCUAAUGGAGUCAAAUGCUGGGAUUAUUGUCUUGUAGGCUAAUUAUGGGUAAAAGUCCCAAGCUCUCCUCUGUUUCUGUUAUGGCAAAUACCCUAUGAUGGCCGAAUGGUCCUGUUGAAGUUAAAGUUAUGUUCAUUCUUUUAAGUUGGUUUAAAUUUAAUUAGAUGAUAAAAGAAUAUGCAACAACUACAAACAAACAAUUCUUCAAAAAAAAAAACAUGAAACCAUGUGAAAAAAUUCAUGGAGGUGCAAAAUUAGAUAAAAAAAGAGGAUAAAAAUCUAAUUCAACCAAAGAUAUUGUGAUAAAUAUGUAAUAUAGAUAAUAAGGGGCGAGUUAACCUGUGGUGUGCCGCAAAACUCAUAGCUCAGGUAUGAUAUCAGAAUAAUUCUAUAUAAAAAAAAUCAAAGAAAACAACAAAGUCAAUUCUUAGAAAAAAAAACACUAAUGUUGAAUGAUGAUGAAAUAAAUAAUAAGAGGCGAGUCAACUCAUGGUGUGACGCAAAAUUCAUGACCCAGGUUACGAGAUUGAGAUAAUUCUAUAGAAAAAAAAUCAAAGAAAACAACGGAGUGAGUUCUUAAAAAAAAAACACUAAUACUGAAUGAUAAAAUUGAAAAAAAUAAAUAAAAAUAAAUGUAUCAACCAACAUCAACUUUUCAAAUAUGUAACCUAGGUUAUUAAACUAGAAGCAUCAUGUAUGAAAAAAUGAUGAAGCAUAAUUUAUGGCAAAUUAAACAUUGAAAAAUAAAACAGGGGGUAAAAAUUAACAACACAAAAAGAUCUAAAAUAAAAAAUGAUAAUUAAAAGAAUGAUGAUGAAAAUAAAAAUAAAAAUAAAUUAAAGGGCAAUUAAAUUUUUUUUAAUGGAGGGUUAAAUUUAAAAUAAAAAUACCUCCAACAAAAAAAAUAAAAGAAUGGGAACCAAUUUUAUUUUUUUUAAAUAACACACCAUAAACUUUGAUGGAAAUAUAAAAUUGAAAACUAAUAAAAUUUUUAUAAAAAAGCCAAUGAAAAAAAUUAAAAACUAAAAAAUUAAGGAUCAAAAUAAAAAAAAAAGUUGACAAAUUAUAAUUAAAUAAAUAAAUUGAAAAAAAAAACUUAUAUAAAAGGAUUAAGGAAAAACUAAAAAAUAUUCUGUCAAUAAUUAUCAUCGUAAUUUACCUAUAGAAUUAUUCUAUCAGUAAUUUUAUUGGUUUUAUAUGAACUUCUAGUAAUGUAAAGACGUUGGACAUGUUAUUUGUGAUGAUGUGCUUAGGUUUUGGAAGAUUUAUAAUGCAGAGAGAGAGAGAGAGAGAGAGAGAGAGAGAGAGAGGAGAAACAAAAAGAGAGGCAACCAUGCAACCAUGCACGUAUACAGCAGGCUAUUGCUAAUAACAAUCGAUGAACAUUACACUGUUAUUGUUUUUGUAGUCAAUAGUUUGAUUUGGUCUAAUGUCUAAUAAAUGAUAGAUCUUUACAAACAUCGAUCAAUAUUCUUAAUCUGUCUGAAAUGGGAUUUAAAAAAACACGAAAUACCAUGAGAUUUGAUCCCAUAAACCCGCGAUUGGGGUCUUUUACCGAGUAUAUAUGUUUUAUUUAUUCGGUAUAUGUGCAUGUUAAUUAAAGCAAAUUAAGAUAUAACAAAGACAAAAAAAACAUUCAGAUGCCGGCCCAUGUUGUUUCUACUGGGGUGGGGAAUUAACAUGAGAUUUUCUUUUAAUUUAUCUUUUGAAAUAAACUUGUUAAUACCUGUUUAGUUUUUUUUUAAUAUAAAAAUUAUUUAUGAUUUAUACAUAUAAGAAAAGGUGUAUCAUAUAUAUUUAAAUGGUAAAUCUAUGAGCAUAAGACUUAAUUUGAAUCUUGAAAAUAGAAAUAAAUCUUAUAAUAAUAAUAGCAGCCGCAAUAAUAAUAAUAAUAAUAAUAAUAAUAAUAAUAAUAAUAAUAAUAAUAAUAGCUAUCCUAACUAUUUGUAUACUAUUGUGUUCGUACGAGUAUAAAAAAAAAAAAAAAAAGGUCGAAGAUUGAUAGUGUAUUGAAAAACAAAGAGAGAAAGUGAAUUGUUAUCAUCAAGAAUGUUUCAUAAAACCCAACAAAUGAGAAAUUAAAUAUAUAAAACAAACAAUAAUCAGAAUAUUGUGUUCUGAGCACUCGUUUUCCCCUUCAAGUGCCUUUGAGCACUCGCUUUACCCUUCACGUGCCUUUAAGCACUCACCAGCCUCCUCGAGUGCCUUUGAGAAGUCACAUUCCCCUUCAAGUGCCUUUGAGCACUGGUGCCUUUGAGCACUCGCUUUUCCCUUCAAGUGCCUUUGAGCCCUCACAUUUUUUUGAGUGUGUCUUCGAGCCCUCAUUUUUUUUUUUUUACGUGAGUAGGUCACCCAUCACAAUGAGAUCAUUUCUAAAAAAAAAAAACAAAAAAAAAAAUAGGUCAUCUUCCAGAUGACUUGUUUCUUGAUUUCUACAUCUCUCUGUAAAGGUCGUGUGUCAAUCUACUGUUUUCAAAGUUUUCAAGACUUAAAAAAAAAAAAUGUUCUUUCUAUAUCUACUUUUCUUUAUAAAUUUAUUACACAAAGCUAAAGAAAAAUGAAAUUUUCCAAUAUCUUUGCAUAGUAAAUAUUAUAAAGAGGGGGCAACUGUCAUAACCUAAUUUUUGACCAUUUUAUUUUAAUUAUUAUUAUUAUUAUUUUAUUUACUGAAAAUGAUAAAAAAAAAUGAUAAUGAAAAAAUAAUAAUGAUGAAAAAAUAAAUAAAAUGAAAUAAAUGAAGAAUGAAUUAAAAUUUGGGUUAAUGGCAAAAUGAUUGGAAGUUUUGGGGUUUAAUUAAACUUUGGAAUUAAUCUAAUUAAUCCAAUUAAGGGUUUUAUUGGAGAAUUGAUAAGUUUUGAGACUUAAUUGAGCUUGGAAUUAAUUUAAUUUAUCCAAUUAAGGGUUUAAUUGGAGAAUUGAUAAGUUUUGAGACUUAAUUGAGCUUGGAAUUAAUUUAAUUAAUCCAAUUAAGGGUUUAAUUGGAGAAUUGAUAAGUUUUGAGACUUAAUUGGACUUGGAUUUAAUUAAAUUAAUGAAAUCAAGGACUUAAUUGAAGAAAUAUUAAUUGGGGUCCAAGUUGCAAAAAUUAAAAUACAAGGAUUAACUUGUAAAAGGCGCCGAAAUGCAGGAGUCUAAUUAAUGUUUACCCAUGGGUUUGUUUACAAAAAGUUCAAAACUUCAAGGACCACAUCAAAAAUAAAAAUUUGAAUUGAAAACGAAGCCGUUUCUUGGACAAACUGUUCACUGCCCAUUUCAGCUUCCGUUUUGACAGUUACAGACAAUGUUUAUAUUUGAGCGUAGAGGCAUUAACAAGGGAAACUGAGGGGACAAAAUCGUGGGGAAGACAGAAAGGGGAAAGGAGGGAAUUGGAAAGGGACCGGAAAAAAGAAGAUACAUUACAGAGAAAAAAAAAAGCAGAAAAGGGGGGAGAGAAAACAUAUCAAAGAGACAAAAAAAAAUAAAGCAAAGGGGGCAGCGAAACCUAUACGAGCCGCCGCCCCCUUCAGCCUUCUUUGGCUUUUCUUCUCCGGCCUCCGUCUCUUCCCCCAUCAGACACUUUUCACUCCUCAAUCUCAACCCCUGGGAGCUGCAACUCCUCGUCAAGAAAGAGUACAUCACACGGGGAACAUCAUUGUGCACAGCCACCUCAUCCUCAAAGAAAAAAAAAGCAUAGUGUUUCACCUUCUCCUUCCACCAUCAUGUUUUCUCCGGUGUCGCCAGAAGAAACCCUCGUCUUCUCCUCACAAUCGUCCAUCAACAACGACAUUCCCAGCCAGGGAAGCCGAAAGGGAAUGCCUCCUUACAAUGCAUAGCUGACCAAACCGUCAGCUCUUCCUCAGAGUUUUUGGCACUUGAAAGCAGCGCAGCGAGUCAGGCAUUACUCCGUCGAUCACAACAACUAGAUGGGCCACUCAAAUAUUUGGAACUCGCAUCCCAAGAGCUACGGUCCUGGAUCCCAAACCUGCCGAGUGUGUGGAAACCCUCAUGGGAUAAUCAGGAAGUAUGGACUGAUGUGUUGUAGGCAGUGCUUCCGCAGCAAUGCGAAGGAAAUAGGCUUCAUCAAGUACCGCUGAAUGGAGAACUCGUUGAUAUCUGUUUUUGAAGGCUCUGUCUGAAAUAUAAAAAAACUGGGAGAGAGAACAGGACGUACAACACAGAGGGCUGCACCGAGGAUACCAGGAGGAACAAUCACCGAGAAGAACCAGAGAGGAGAACGACUAGAGAGAAACCAAAUAAAAAAAAGGCAGAGGCAGAAUUGAAGAAAGGAGCGUUAUUGACCAACAACCUCACAUCUUCGUCUGUUUCAGUUACCAACGACUGUGCGUAAAAGUUUCAGCGCCAUCGUCUUCUUCUGUCUCAGUUACAGCCUCCAGAAACAGAAGCGAAAGAACAAGGAAAACACAAAAAUAGGAGGAAGUGAACCGGAAGAAGAGAGCAAAGGAAGGGGAGAGGAGCAACCGAACAACGAAGUUAAAAAAUACAGGUAGCAGAGGAGGUCAGCAGCAACUUUUUAUUUUCUCUAGAACCAGGUAUGUUCAUUCCUUUCUCCGUUUUUUUUAAAAAAAAAAAAGAAAAAAAAAGUGAUACAUGUUAGUCUAGAAAAACAGUAAGAAAGUGUAAGAAAAUUAAAGAUAGGAGUCGUUGUUCUGCGGUUUAUUACUAACUAGGGGGGGCUGUUCUUUGGCUAUCUGCAAAAGAAAGAAGAAGCAUGAACAGUGCGAAGGUAGAAGGUAAUUUAAUUACCUUCGCACUGCUGAUGCACGCGUAAAGAUUUACGCGUGCAUGGUGUAAUUGGGUCACUGGCCUGCGGCCACUGACCAGGCUGGGCUGGGUCUAGCCCAGCCCAUGUGGGCUGAGCUGGGCCCAGCCCAAAAAUAAAAAAAUGAAAAACAGAAAAAAAUAAAAAAAUAAAAAAAUAAAAAAAAAUAGAAAAAAUAAAAAAAUGUAUAUGCAUGAAUAAAAAUAAUAUAAAUUUAUUGGGUUAUUCACUGACGCCAGAGUCAGGAAUAAAAAUACCGGUUUAAAUUUAUAUUAUUUUUAUUCAUUGUAUUUUUAUUUUAGUUAGCUAGAAAAAUAAAAAAUAUGUGCGUGCAUAAAAAUAAAUUUAUUUCUAUUUAUUUAUUCACUAGCUCUAGAGUAUGGAAUAAAAAAAUAUUGAUCUAAUUAAUUUUCGUAGUUACGAAUUUUUACCAACGCCAGAGUUGGAAUUAUUCAAGCACGAAUAUUCACUGGCGCCAGAGUCAGGAAUAUUAUAAACAAAUCAUCAUAGCAUAAACUAAUAAACAUUUAGCAAUUUAAGACAAAAACUAGCAAUGCAGUCUGCCUUAGGCAGAACGUUUAAGGGGUGAUAAUAUCUUCCCUUUUACGUAACCAAUCCCGAGCCAUAGAAUCUCUAUUGACCAGUUAGGGUUCCUAAUGACCAUAAUACUAGGUGGCAACUCCUUAAACAAGACAUUUCCCUUAAAAGAACAAGAUACCAGAAAUCUGUUCUUUUUCCAUAAUUCAAGAGAAUGUUUUUUUGUGGGCCACCGCGAUGUCGGGUGUGACAACAAUCAAUAUUUUUUCUCUCUAAAAACUAAAAAGCUAGUCAGGCCUGGAAUGAGCAGCCAAUUGGACCGCUCACUCAUUUCUUUCUGUUAGCAUAUCCCUUGUCAUAACCCAAAUUUUAAUCAUUUUUAUUUUAAUUAUUAUUAUUUUAUUUACUGAAAAGGAUAAAAGAUGAUAAUAAUGAUGAAAAACAAGUAAAAUGAAAUAAAUAAUGAAUGGAUUAAAAUUUGGAUUAAAGGCAACAUGAUUGAAAGUUUUUAGAGUUUAAUUAAACUUUGAAAUUAAUCUAAUUAAUCCAAUCAAGGGUUUAAUUGGAGAAUUAAUAAGUUUUAAGAUUUAAUUGAGCUUGGAAUUAAUUUAAUUAAUCCAAUCAAGGGUUUAAUUGGAGAAUUGAUAAGUUUUGAGACUUAAUUGAGCUUGGAAUUAAUUUAAUUAAUCCAAUCAAGAGCUUAAUUGGAGAAUUGAUAAGUUUGAGACUUAAUUGGACUUGAAUUUAAUUAAAUUAAUGAUAUCAGGGACCUAAUUGAAGAAAUAGCAAAGUUUGGGGUUAAUUGGGGGCACAAUUGCAACAGAUUAAAGUCCAAGGACUAACUUGUAAAAGGCACUGAAAUGCAGGGGUCCAAUUACAAUUUAACUAGGGGCUUAAUUACAAAACUUUCCAAACUUCAAGGGCAAAAAUGUAUAUAGCUGUGAAUACCGAAACGACACCGUUUCCCGUUACUGUUCAUCUUCCUCACCUGACCGAAACGGACGCCCACCGCCGCACAACCAUUACUUCUGCAAUUAUCACACUUUAUGGUUGGAAGAAACGACAUUGUUUUCUCUGGCUAUAAAAGCCAUAGAACGACUGAGAAAAAAAGGGAACUGGGGACUGAAAGGGGGGAAAACAAUGGGAUUUUUGGACGAGAAGUCGAGAAAAAAAAACUCCAGCUAAACCCAAACGAAAAACCAGAGAAGAAAAGAAAAGAGAAAAAGCAGAGCAUAAAUCCAAAGCACAAAUUCACAGAGAGAAGGAGAAAAGGGAGGGGCAACACAGAGAAGAAUCAGCCUUGUUAUCGUCUUCGUCCCUGCAGAAAAAGAAGAACCCGAAGUUAGUAAAAAACUCAGUAAAGCUGGCAUAUGCGUUACUUUCUUAGUUAGCUCACCUCAAGAACUGAGAAGAAAGGAGAACAGUGAACGCAGAGGGGAGAAGGCAGAGAACACGAAUAGAAGAGGAAAACAGAGGAGAGCAGACGGUAAGUAAGGAAACCCAACAAACAGAAACACACGAACAGAGGGGAAGAGACUGAGAGGAGGAGGAAGAGAGAAUUCUCCGGGAGUGCUCGAGCACAAAAAAAUAUGUUAUGGGCUGGGCCACCAAAAUAAAUAAAUAAAUAAAAUAGAAAGUAUAGAAAUAAAUAUUUUUUUUUACAUGUGUUAGAAAAAAUAUUUUUAUCAACUUAUUCAAUUAUAUCAGGAUCAUGAAUGAAAAAAGAAAAUAUACUGAUUUUUUUAUAGCCAUGAAUUUUUAUCAAUACCAGAGUUGGAAUUAUUCAUGGUGGAAUUUUUUUUUUUUACCAACGCUAGAGUUGGAAUUAUUCAUGAUGGAAUUUUUACCAACGCUACAGUUGGAAUUAUUCAUGGUGGAAUUUUUACCAACGCUAGAGUUGGAAUUAUUCAAGAUUGAAUAUUCACUGACGCCAGAAUCAGGAAUAUUAUAAACAAAUCAUCAUAGCAUAAGCGAAUAAAUGUUUAGCAAUUUAAAACAAAAUCAGCAAUACAGUCUGCCUCAAGCAGAAAGUUUAAGGGGUGAUAAUAUCUUUCAUUUUACUUAACCAGUCCCGUAUCAUAGAAUCUCUGUUGACCAGUUAGGGUUCCUAGUGACCAUAAUACUAGAUGACGACUCCUUAAACAAGACCAUUCCCCAUUAAAAAACAGGAUGUCAGAAAUCCGUUCUUUCUAAAGAUAUAAUAAUUUUUAAGGCCGUCACAAUGUUGGGUGCGACAUCCCUUAGCUGUACAAGUCCCUCAUGGAUGAGGAGGCGGUACUUUUGAGAGGAAACAUGAUAGUUAACUUGAUUAUAAGAAAACGAGGAUGAUUUUGUUUGAUUUUGUUCAUAGCAGCUUAGGUGAAAAAGCUUAGGACCAUGCUUCAAAUCAUGAAUUUCAUGGCAUGACUAAAGAUGCAAUUACACAGCAUGUCGAGGAGGCAACAUCUCUUCUACUGCGAGUCUCACACAUCCAACAGUCCAGUCCAUGUCUAUUAACGAGUGAUUUCAAUUGUAAAAAGGAAAACUUCUGUAAAGUUAGAGUACAUUCGAUGCGAAAUUCAGAUGAAAUUUUAAGCAGAAAAUGAUCAAUAUAGAAGCAUGAAAUUUGACAUAAAUAUACAGAAGCAUUAGAAGUUUGCUUCAUGAAACCAGCAAAUCAUGAAUUUAGGAGAUAUAGAAAACUCUUCAUAUUAAAAAGGAAUGCAUCAACCAUUGGAGCAUCAAGAAAACCACAUUAGUAAUUGGUCUCCUUUUUCUAAUGCCCGCAUAAAAGGCAUACAGCAGCUAAAUUGCCACUUGCAGUACUAGUUUUGUUUUAUGAGCAGUCUUAUCGAGAUAUGCAUCUUUCUUACGAGGUGCGGAGAACAACUUUCAUUCUUCAACUCAGUGAAGAUAACAGAAAAGCAAGCUUCUCAAUAAAUAACUUGGAAUCUAAGAAGAGACGCAACUUGAAAACAUAGGAAGUAAAAAACUGAGAGAUUGUGAGAGACAAAAUUAAUAGUUGGAAAGAAAAAGAAACAAGUAACACCUGAUUCAGAACAUAGUAGACGUUAAAUUGGUUAGGAAAAAUGAUUGCCAGGUUAUCAAUCUCUUCCUGCAAACAAGCAAACAAAGUGGAUUAUGCUUAUUUAAUACAUCCAACAAAGAAAUGAGAGAGAGAGAGAGAGAGAUUUACCUUCAAAAGAAUGUCCUCAUAUGUGACAUUGGCAUAAAUAAGAUGUAUGUUCGUUUUGUCAUCUGGGUUUUCUAAUAUGGCUCUAGUUACCUAAGAAGCCAAAAGAAGAGAGAUAAGUAAUCAAUAAAUCAAACUGAUAAUUUUGGCCAGCUGCAAAAUAACAGAUUGUUUUAAAAAUAUAUACCUGGAACAUGGGAGUAAUUCCAGUGCCCCCAGCAAUCAUUCCAAAUGCUCUGACUUGGUUAGGUUGAUACUUGAAACGCCCCUAGAAAAAUCAUAUAAAUACAUCAAUUACCAACCUUUUGUGAUAAAGUUUCAGACAGCAAGUAAGAUGUGAUGCGGGCUCUGAUAACUGACAAGGUUUAUAGUAAAUCGGUUGUCAAGAAACCCAACCAUUUACGCAAAGCAAUGGUAGGAACCAUACAAAUGUUGCUCCUCAAAAUGGAAAAUCAAACUUUCUAGAGUAAAAGAGAUCAAAAUCACCUAACAAAUACCAAAUUGAUCUCAUAAACUAGCUGGGAAAUGUGGAAAAUCCUGAGGCAAAGAAAGGCAACUGAGGAAAGGAAAUAGCUUUACCUUAGGUCCCUUCACGGCCAAGUAAUCACCUACACGCAUUUCCGGAAGUGGUGGGACAUCCUACCUUGUGGAUACAUCUGUUUACAUGAAACAACAAAAUCAGGAUGACAAACCAAAAUAGUAGUUUUGCAAUAUCAUAAUGGAAUGAACGAACAGUACAGCCCGAAUCAAUCAACCUUUAUAACUAGUUCAAAGUAUCCAAUAUCACAAUCCAACGUUGUUGGGGUAUACGGCUUGACAACUUCUUCACCGACACUAUCCUUUCCCCUGUUGAUAACGAAAGGUUAGUUUAGUUAUUCAUCGUAUAUGCCAACUGAACACAAAAAAAUAGAAUUCACCAAUCAGGCAUUCGCUAUGGUAGAAAUUCAAGACAAAGCGAACCUGCAACUCAUAUGUUGUCCAAUUGGCAGUCCCAAAACUGAAUUCGGUGUGGGAAGAGCAAAUUUAAACUUGGCCACAUUAUGACUCAGUUCGGUUCUCUUAACAAGUUUAUAUUCCUUGAAAUUUUCAGGGUCCAAGCAACCUAUCAAGACAUGACAAGGCAUUAAUCAAUUUGCACAAAUCUUGAUUUAUAUCCACAAAGCUUUAAGUUUUGAUUCCAUAGCCAAGAUAACCAAUUCUGCAUUUACCAAUAAUAAGAAGCUACGAUUGCUAGUAAUUCUAGACAAUCUACAAUCCCAACAAAUGGAUUCUUCUCUUUUUGCACCAAAAUUAAUCAAACAGCUGAUAAAUUUGAAAACUUGAGCAUUCCUAACACAUAAUAAUUAGACCCACUGAAAAAAACAAAAAAACUUCAAACUUUAUAAACAAUCAGCAAAAAUAACAAAAACCCAGAUACUAAAAUACAAAAAAAAAAAACAUACCUUUAGGCUUCUUGGUGAUGUAGAAAUAAAAAGCAGUGCCAGCACCAAUGGCAACAAGAGCCACAGCAAUGCUUAUCAUUUCCACUCUAUGAGACUGUAAACUUUCCAUUUUGGAUCCAACAGGAAGAGAGAGAGUGUUUGUGCUACAAAGGGACUGGCUUUUGCCUCUCUCUUCCCUUCUCAGUAAAAUUUUGGCUGUUUGGUGGAUUCAGGAAGCAGGACUGGCUCAUGGAAGUACUUUUAUGGGUGCAUGAGAAAUUUUCUAAAGUCCUUGCUACAGAUGAUAAUAGCUCCAAGGCGUUGAAUUUUAGAUACAGUUAAGGGUAAAGUACUUUUUGACCAUAUAGAUUUACCAAUACUCCAUUAUCAUCCUUAUAUUUUAAAAUCUUCAAUUAUUAUUCUUUAUAGUUCCUAAAAACUAAAAAGUUAAUAAUGGAAAAGGCACCUUUUUUUCAUUUUUCCUAUUGUUUCAUGUGAUAAUAUAAAAGAAAUGAAAAAUAAAACUCAUAAGUGAAAUUUAUAAAGAAAGAUUACAUAAGAUUAUGCUUGCUAUUUAAUGCUUGGAUUUUGAAAAUCUAUAUGCUAAUCCCUUUACUUUUGUUGAAUCCUUGUUUUUUUAUAUAAAAAAUAUAGAGUGGGUUUCUCUAAUAAUAUUUUGUGAUUAAGAAAAAAAAAUAUUUGAAACUCCUGCUCAUCUGAUAUUGUUGGUCCACAUGCAUAGCAAGAUCUUGGGUUGUAUCUGCAUGCAGUGAAAAUAUAAAUGUCAAAUCUUUAAAGAAAAUCUAAAGUGAUGUUGGUGUGCAGUCACGUGCCCCCUGUAUUGUAGUUAGCUAUUGUUUUUUCAUCAGAUGUAACCAUGUAACCAUCAGAUGUAUAACGAUGUGUUAAAUGCCCAUGAAGAGUCCAAAGACUUGGAAGGUGCUCAAAGAUCUUAUAAAAGAAGUUCAAUCAUUGAACAAAGAGAAAGAGGCAGCAGAGAAACAACAAACAGAAGCAAUAAAGAAGCAGACAGAGCUUGAACUUGAUGUGAAAGAUAUGCUAGAGAGAUUUUCUUGAAAUAUUCAAGCCAAAGUAUUAAACUCUAAUAGAGAAAUGUUAGUUAUUUUUGAAGGAUAAAGAAUGGUGAAUGUUUUUAUUCAAUGUAUGCACAUGCUUUCAGUAUGAUGCCAUGAAGCAACUUGAUAUUCUACAGAAAGAAAUACAAGAUUCUCAGAAAGAGCUCAACAAAAUCAGUCCCAUCUAUGAAGAACACCUUUCAAAGGAAAAGGAUAUCAUCAAGAUGUAAGCCAAGAAUUCUCAGUUUUGCGCAUGCUUUUGCAUGUUCUAGAUGGACCAGGCACUAUUGUUUUGUCCACUACUAGAAUUCUGAGAUUGCUUGGUCCUAGUGUAUGGCUUUUAGUCUUGUCUGGUACUCAAAGUGAACAUGCUGAAGAUCAGACUACAUUCAGAUAGUGUCCAGGGUUUGCUGCAGCUCCAUUACUUCAAACAUGUAAAGGAGGCCUUAGAUCAGUCAUGAUGUCAAGUCAGGAAAAAAAAAAUUCUGAUAGAUUUAUUCAGUAAAAAGUUUUUGUUUGCUUUCUUUUACAAAUUUCUUGAUUUUCUUUGCGCUCCUGAAGUGUAUUUUCUUUCUUGGCCUUUGAUGGUUCAUUGUCUAUGCCAAAAUAGCACAUUUAUUUGGGAGAAAAGCUUGUGCCAUGUGUAGUACCUUUCUUUCAUAAACGCUUUUGGCAACUUGCAGAAUAAUAGAGCAUGAAAAGCAGCUUAGCAUACUUUAUCAAAAACAAGGUCGUGCAACCCAGUUUUCCAGCAAAGCUACCCGUGACAAAUGGCUUCAAAAGAAAAUUGAUGAUUUACAACGAGUUCUUUCUUCAAAUUUGGCUCAGGCAAGAGUUCACAUUAAUCUAUUAUGAUACUUGAACAUCAUCUCAGAUGAACUAUUGUUGUCAGGAUUUUCCUAGUAGAUAGAUUAGGAGACACUUUCUUAUCACAUGCCCAUCAUUUAAUUAAGAGAGGACCAGGCCUCUUAUCAGAUAAUUCAAAGAUCAAAACACAAUGUCAAGUUUUUUUUUUAAUAGAAUGAUUAACCUCAUUGGUAUAUUGUUUGUUCAAUUUCUUGUAUCCUGUUUCCAAUCCAUGGAUUACAGCCCUUAUAGGCUAGUUGUCCUUGGUGUCUUUUUCCUCCUUUUCUUUUGUUCUUGGGUAUGCAAUCUCAGGAGGUCACUCUUUAGUAAAUUUAGGUGUGAAAAGAACAAUGUUAGCACUUCUUGACUAGUACAGGUAUACCUUAGAAAAGGCUAAAAUGUAAGGUCUCUUUUCAACUAAAAGUUUCUGUAAAUUACUCCCUAAGUUAUAAUUUCAACUGAAAGUGCCUCUCACAUUAGUUUUUUGUUCUUUACUGUCAAUAAACAAAUGCAUACAACUGACAUAACACAUAUAAUAAAACAUAUUGUAGAUGGAGGAUUUGCUAAUAAGUAAUUCGAACAUCAUUAUUUAAGAAUUAAUUGGGAUUUUAUUCCUGGCUUGGGUUGACCUUGUAGGGUUUGGAGCACCUAUAUUUGCACAUGUAUUUCGGAGUCUUAAUACUAGAAGCAUGUUUUGAGUUUCUGCUAUUUUGAAUAAUUCCUUGCUUGUGGAUGUCAACAAUUCCACUUGUAGAUUCAAGGAGGCUUCCUGUGGAUUUCUAGAUUUUUUUUCUUCCCUUCAUUCCUUGUUGGGUAUUUUUUUUCAUUUUAGCCCUUAGUAAACUGGACCAAGGAACUGGAACUUUCAUGCUAUGAGAAAUAAUUAAUUUUUCUUUUCUGCAUGAACUGGACAUUUUGAGGAGAAAGAUGUUACACUUUCCAUAUGCUGUCCUGGCUUCAAAUGUUCGGCAUUUAUUCUGCUUUGGUGCAAUCUCUGGAUUGUGUAUGUGCCAUGGCUAUGGUGUCUAGGACCUAUAGCAGUAAGUAAUAGGUGCCCACCAUUAAACGAAAAGCAAGAGCCAUAAGAGAAUUUAUACUUCUAUGUUAAACUGUCUGCAAGGUUUGUGCAUGCCUGUUUGGAUUCAUUGAAGAAGUCUUGUUAGUUGGUUUGUGUAUGGAAUUGAACUUCUUAGCUAUGUUGUUGCAAGUCCAUGUGCCUCUCGUGCUGUUUCCUCAAUAUUAUGAUGCUAAAUAAGCUGUCUGCUUGUGUAUAUCCCCAGGAGCAAAAACUCCACGAAGAAAUUUAUAGGCUGAAUGCAGACUUAAAAGAGCGAGAUGCCUACAUUGAGAGUCGCAAAGCUGAAAUUGCAACCUUAGACUCUCUCAUUUUCCAGUCACGUGAAGGAUUCAAUAGUUAUAAAGCACAGAGAGACAAGCUGCAAGAUGAGCGGAAGUAUGGUUAUUUUUCUGUAUUUAUUUUGGUCAGGCUUACUGAAAGUACUCAGGUUGACCUUUUUUGUUUGUUUCUGUAGAUCAUUGUGGAAAAAGGAAAGUGAACUUUCUGCUGAAAUUGAUAAGCUAAGAACAGAAGUUGACAAGGCAGAGAAGAGCCUGGAUCAUGCGUGAGUAAUUUCUUCCUUUAUUUAUUUAGCUUUUAAUUUUACAAACUUAGUUAUCAAAAUGCCUCCAUGAGUAUGAACAGCUUGAAUUGAACUUGACAAAAAGCUUCUUUGAUCUUUGAUUGUUUCAUUACAACCAAGUUCAAGCGUCACAGCGAGGCUUGUUUGUGAUGAAGUCAAGACCAAUCAGGCCCAUGCUUGCCUUGAAUGGGCCCAUGAACAUGAACUUUCAGGCCCACUUUACUCACCUUAAUUUGUACUUGAGAUCCUUGUGUAAUAUUUUUAGAAUACAAGCUAAAAUGGUUAGCAGUUUAAUGAACAAAAUUGACUAUGUUUCAUGCCUGGGCGGCAUGCCAGCCUCGUUCUUUUUUUAAUUAAUUCUUACAUUUCUCUGGCUUCUGUUUGUCUCAACACUGAUAAAAUCACUUGCCAUGUGACCAGUCGUUUGUGAAUGAACUGAGCAUUUGGGCCAAGCUCAAGAAGUUGCAAGCUGUGAGGAGAGGGCUCAAUUCUAUUCGGCGUAUCUGCAGAGAGUACAAAAUUAGUGGAGUUUUCGGUCCAAUAAUAGAGCUGCUUGAUUGUGAUGAGAAAUAUUUUACUGCUGUUGAAGUUACAGCUGGAAACAGGUAUGUAAAAUCUAUUCUAUUAUGUUCAUUGUUUUCUCUCUUGGAGUCGUGUUCUCAAUCUGCUUGACAAGCUGGCAUGCUUGCCAUUAGUCUUUUGACCUUAUGCUUUGAUCACUUCAUCGUUGAAUGAUUUACUUAACAUCUGUUUGUCAUUUGAGCAGCUUAUUUCAUGUUGUGGUUGAGGAUGAUAACAUAUCAAUUCAGAUAAUUAGGCAUCUUAAUGCAUUGAAAGGAGGACGAGUUACUUUCAUUCCACUGAACAGGGUAAAGGCACCUCGAGUAACUUAUCCACAGAGUUCUGAUGUGGUACCUUUGCUAAAGAAGUUGAAGUUCUCUCCCAAUUUUACACCAGCAUUUGCCCAGGUUAGUUCUCCCUCAUGUUUGUUCUUACUGAAACGGUAUUGACCCAGCAGAAACAUUGAUGUGAGUUUUGUUGUUAGAAAUUUAUAUGUUGGACUGCACAUAACUGAAAAUCAGUAAUUUCUUGUGCUAUUUUGUUCUAGAAGGUUAUUUCUCUGUGUUUUCUAUCAAUUGAUUAGUGAUGUUUUCAAUAGUUAUUUACUGAAUUUAUUUAUUUUUUGUGAGAAGCUUGUAGUGAUUGCUUUGGGAAUCUAGAUAUUGAUGGGAAAAAGUUUGAACUUGUUAAUUUUGGGUGAUUGGCACUAACUUUAAAAAAGUAAGUGAAGGCUAUGAAGUACCUCCACAUAUGCUACUUUCGUCCACCACUAACCACAAUGCUAGACUUGUGAAGUGAAACACUUUUUUCCUGAUGUGAUAUUUGUGCAUUGUUAAAUUAUUUGAUUGGCAUGUUCUUGGAUUGUUAAACGUUGUUGAUGCCAUUGGUCUUGUAUAUAAAUGUGUUCACACUUUUUGAAAAUUUGCAUGAGCUAAAACUGUUAUGAUGUUGAUACAACUCUUGGAGUGGUGUGGGAUGUGCUACAUGCUUAUAUUACCACAUAUUCUUUCUUUUUCUCUAGGUAUUUGCUAGAACUAUGAUCUGUCGAGAUUUGAAUGUGGCCAUAAGAGUUGCCCGAACUGAUGGUUUGGACUGCAUAACUGUGGAUGGUUAGCUUAGAAAUCUAAGUUUUUAUUUUGCACAAUGACUUUAUAUGUGAUCGAGAUGCCUUAACAAUUUACUACUGAUCAGGUGAUCAAGUAAGCAAGAAAGGUGGUAUGACAGGGGGCUUUUAUGACCAUCGGCGCUCAAAGUUAAAGUUUAUGAACAUGAUUAUGCAGAAUACAAAAUCUAUUAACAUUAAGGAAGAAGAACUGGAAAAAGUCAGAUUUAUGCUACAAGAUAUCCUUUUUCACUAUUAUUUUUUUAAAAUUCUUUUUGAAUGAGUGCUUUUAGUUUAUGCAUUCAUUUAAUUGUAAAACUAGGGUAUGAUUUCUUGUCCAUAGUCGUGAAAAAGGUCUAAAUACAUCCCUCGUGCUAUCUUACUCCAAAAUUUUUUGAAGAAAGAAUAAACUAACCUUUGCUUCCUCAAAUAUUUCUUCAACAUUAGGCAACCCAUUGAAAAAUUUCUUGAACAAAAAGUCUAAUCCUUCACAGUUCUUGAAGAAAGAAUAUUCUAACAGCUGAUCAGCAGAAGGUCUCUUUGAAGGGUCUUGAUUGAGACAGGAAGCCACCAUAUCUUUGAACUCUUCAGAAAACUUGUUGUUCUUGAAAUCUUUGCUGUGCUUCUCAUGAAUCAUGAUAAUCAAAGAACCACCCAAAUCUCUUCUUUAUCUUCAUGAUCAAAGACUUUGAAGGAGGAAUGAGGUGAGAGAAAGGAGGUCCACCAUGUGCUCAUUCUAAGGCAGUAAUACCGAAAGACCAUUUAUCAGACUUGAAACUAGCUAUAACCUGUAUCUGAGAAAUUUAUAACCUCUGGUGCCAUCCAGUAUGGGGUCCCUGAAAAAUCAGUUAACCUCAUUGUUGAUGAGGAAGACGAUGAGGAUGAUUUCACAAUGAUACUUGAGUCGUAAAUCGAGACUGGCAUGCCAGAAUACUCCAUGUGUAUACUAACACAGGUAAUUUUCCAUGAAUUUUUUAUGAAAAAGAUAUAUCAUUAUAAUAUUUGGAUGUAGAUACUUUUUAUUUUUAUAUUUUUUGCAUGGAUAGCUAAAUUGAUUUCCAGUGAUGAACCAUUACUGAAAUGAUCUGAUUCAUCUUUAUGGCUGGUGCAGCCAAACUCUGAUGGUCUGACGGAGGACUGAUAAAUCGAUCUAUACGAGGAUGCCGUGAUAAAUUUGUUUGCUGUUACAAUGUUCUAUAUUUUCUCUGCUGGAAUCUCAAGAUUGUAUAGAAAUAGAUGUUAAACAGCUCAGAGCUAUAUUAUUAGCACAGCUUCUCAUGUCUGUCUUCAAUAUUAGCCUAGGAACUAGUUCAGUAUCAAAAUUGAUGGAAACCUUGGAGAUCUGCAGCUGUGCGGAUGUUUUACCUAGGCAAGUAUGCAAACCAUGUUUUUCAAUAUGUUCUGUUAUUUACAUUUUGGAAAAAUUCUCAUUCUUGGCACUGUUGCUGAAUGGAUUUCUAUCAGCCUUCAUGUCGCGCUUCUAGAUGCUUUCUCCCAAUUAAAACCUGCGGCACAGCUGCAAAAUUGGUGGGUCCUACCAGCAUAAAACAUUAUUUUUUUUGUUAACCAAACGGUAGUAGCCACACUACCCAACGCUCACAUAUUUAAGAGGGGAUUUCAUUCAGAUUUCAAAAUUUGGAGGCAUAUCAUGGGCUGAAAAUGACGUGGGAAAGGUGCUGCCAAAGCUCCCAUGUCCACGUUAAAUCUUUCCCAUUCCUGAGAUAAUUAAAGAUAUCAUUUAGUAAUUUUGGUGCCAGUCAUUCACUUCACAUUUAGCAGUGUGUUAACAUAUGUUUUUUAAAUUACUUUUACAAUUAAAAAUGUAUUAAAAUAUUUUUUAUUUUUUAAAAUUUAUUUUUAACAUUAACAAAUACAACUUAAAAAUACAAAAAAAAUUAAUUUAAAAUAAAAAUAAUCUUUUUUUAUUUUUUUCAAAAAAUCUUUAAAACCAAAAAACAAAUGGGCUCUUGAUACAAUGCUUGACCACCUCUAGGGACCACUGGUUCCCUGACUUGCGCUAUGUCACAUGCUAACUAUUUUUUUAUCACAUAAAAAAUAUUUUAAAAAAGGUUAAAUAUAGUUUUAAAAAAUAAAAAUAUAAUGUUCAGGAAAUUAACUCAAAUGAAUUUAAUAAACUUAAUUAAUUUAAUAAUAUCAUUAAAAAAUAAGAUAUCAACAACAAAUAAAGUGGAAAAAAACAACAAUUCUUAGUAAAAGAUAAAUGCUUGUUAAUGUUAUAAAAAUAUAUCUGUAUAAUAUUUUCAAAAUAUCUCAAUGAUCUUAUUUGUCAAUAAAAUAAAAAUUAAAUAGAAAUAAAAUAAAAAAUUAAUGUUAACUUUUCGAACCAUAAUUGGAUCAUAAUACCUUAGCUUGCAGAAACGAGAAAAUAUUCCAAUAUGGCUGCCUUUGUGGGGUAUAGUGUAUUCUAAGGAGGGACUUUUCUUUUCCCUGUCUGUUUCUCCUACUGGUUUCUUUCACACCAUUUAUUUUAGCCUUCAUGAUUCAUUAAUUAUUGGGGCCUCAUUGACUCAUGACUUCGGAUGGGAUGUUUUCCGAACUUGAAAGAAUAGAUUCAUUGACCUGAUCAUCUCGGAAUUGGUCAUAUGAUGAGUGUUUUCUGUCAGUCUCUCUUUGCUAUAUAUUGUCUACCAGGAAAUGAAGUUGCACAAUUAAAAAUUAGAGGGAGAGAAUUGGUUUGGAGCUGCUUUGUGUAUAGAAAAUGAUACUUCAGAGGAGGGUGUUUUUGCUGAUGAUGUUGCUGCUAGUGGCUGCAGUAACAGGAGCAACAGCAAAUCCAGAUGUGAGAGAUGGCUGCCGAGAAAGGUGUGGGGAUGUUAUUGUUCCUUACCCGUUCGGGAUUGGGGAACAAAGAUGUGCCAUGAAUGAAAACUUCUUUCUAAAUUGCACUUCUACUGAUGAACUGUGGUUUCGAGAGGACAUGCCUGCUCGCAAUAUAUCAUUGCUCAAUGGCACAGUCACUGUAGGCAUUGAUACAUCGUUCGAUUGCUAUGACAAGUCAGGGAGGCAGUUGGGGCUUUUCAAUCAGUCUAUCUCACUUGGAUCAGGCCCCUUCACAUUUUCAGACUCUCGAAAUGUUUUCACAGUAGUUGGUUGUGACACCGCUGCGAUGGUGACCAACGAGGAUGUGACAUCCGGGUUUGGUUGUCUCUCUUUAUGCACUGUAAAUGUUACCAUGCCAAAGAAUAAUUCCUGCUCAGGUUCUGGAUGCUGCCAGACCUCGAUUCCCAGGGUCUCAAGUCUGGAUAUUACCAUUGGAGCACUGACUACCACAUGAAUGUUUCCGAAUUUAACCCUGUGGCUUUGCAUUCCUUGAGGACAAAGACUCCCUUGACCUGUCGGAUUGGCCACUCUCUCGAACUCCAAAUAAUGAUACAUCAAAUGUUGUGAUCGAAUGGGUAGCUCAAACCGAGACAUGCGAAGAGGCUCAGGCCAAUAAGAGUUCAUAUGCUUGUGGCAUCAAUACAAAUUGCUAUUACUCUGAUAAUGGUCAAGGAUAUCGUUGCGCAUGCAAAAAAGGAUUCGAAGGAAACCCAUAUCUUGAACAAGGGUGCCAAGGUAAAGCGACAUAUGCCUUCAGUAGUUACGUAAUUGAAAUUAAAAGAUUGUUCAUUCCUCUUCUCAGAUAUUGAUGAAACAAAACAACUUCUAAAUGCGUAGACUAAAUUUUAUUGAAUUAAGGUAAACUCAUAAUCUGUUAUGUUUUGCAGAUAUUGAUGAGUGCAAGGAUCCUGAAACAUACACGUGUCAUGGUAAAUGUCACAACACCAUUGGGGGAUUACGAAUGCAAAUGUACUCUUGGCAUGCAUGGUGAUGGCAAAGUAGGUUGCGGUGGGUUUGGGAUCAUCACAAUUAUUAUUUCGGUAAUUAAUGUGCAUCCACUUCAAUACGUGGCAGUGGCAGGUGUUCCUUGUUUUUCAACUAUCCUAUACGUAAUUUAUUAAUCCAUCCAUCCAGAACAAUAAGUUGAGCUAUCAUUUACUAGGGCUUUGCCUUUUGGGUUCAAAACAAUAAAACGGAACUAAUAUAUUUCACUUACAAAAUUAGACUAAUCGAAAAACUAGUUUAUUCUAACAUAGGAUUAAAAAAAAAAAAGUUUACCACGUUUGUCUUUCUUGAAAAUCUUAUGAUAAUUUUAAAAAAAAAAUAAUUCUUCAAAAUUUUAAAGGAAUAAUUAUUUUUUCUUGAAAAGCUAUGACAAAACCUUUUCGAAGAUGCUCAAAAAGUAGAUCAUCUUAGUCUUUCUUGAAAAUUUCAUGAAACAUAAAAAAUUAAUUGUUUAAAACAAAUUUUAAUUCCUUAAAACUUUAAAGGAAUAAGAAAAUUUCAAAAUUGCUUAUUGAUUAACAUUUUUUUGCAAUAUAAUAAUGAUUAAUGACUCGAUCGUAUAAUAUAAUAUGUAUAGAUAUUCAUAUCUAUUAUAUUAUAACUUGUAGAUUUUUUAUAAUUGAUGAAAAUAUACUUUUAUAUAUUAAUACAUAUUGAAGAGUAGGGUUAGACUGAGCGAUUUAUCUUAUUAAAUAUUAAAAAAUUUAGGAACAUGGUACAACCUAUGUUCUAAAAGAAAAUUAGAAGUUCUUGCUUAUGAUGUUUUUUAUUAUUAUUUUUUUAUUAAUGUGAACAUUAAAUAAUGACAAAUCAUGAAAUUAUUAUUAUUCUUAUUAUUUUUCCCCUGAGAAAUGCAGUUGUUGUUGGAGUUGUUGGAGUGUUGUUACUGGUCAUUGGUGGUUGGUGGCUGUACAAAAUCAUGGAGAAAAGGAAGAGCAUAAAACUGAAACAGAAGUUUUUCAGACAGAAUGGUGGUCUCUUGUUACAGCAACAAUUAUCCUCAAGUGAUCAAGGUAUUUCCAAAACCAAAGUAUUUAGCUCAGAGGAGUUGGAAACUGCCACAGAUGGUUUCAAUGUGAACAGGAUACUUGGUCAAGGUGGCCAAGGUACCGUGUACAAAGGGAUGCUAGCAGAUGGAGUAAUUGUUGCGGUCAAAAGGUCCACAAUGGUGAGUGAAGAAAACCUUGAAGGAUUCAUCAACGAGGUCUGUAUUCUUUCACAAAUCAACCAAAGAAAUAUAGUCAGGCUACUUGGUUGCUGUUUGGAGGCAGAAGUUCCUCUUUUAGUUUAUGAAUUUAUUCCUAAUGGAACUCUUUACGAGUAUCUCCAUCGCCAAAAUGAGGAGUUCCCUUUAUCAUGGGAAAUGAGAUUACAGAUUGCUGCUGAAACUGCCGGAGCACUUUGCUAUCUUCACUCAGCAGCUUCCAUUCCAAUUUAUCAUCGAGAUAUAAAGUCCACCAACAUACUCUUAGAUCACAAGUAUCGCGCAAAGAUUGCCGAUUUCGGGACUUCAAGAUCACUCUCCGUUGAUCAAACUCAUUUGACGACUAAUGUGCAAGGCACCUAUGGUUACUUGGACCCAGAAUACUUUUGGUCCAGUCAGUAUACAGAUAAGAGUGAUGUCUAUAGUUUUGGAGUAGUUCUUGCUGAGCUCUUAACUAGACAAAAAGCAAUUCUUACAAACGAGUCACAAGAACGCAAAAACUUGGCUGCACAUUUUGUUCUUUUGAUGGAAGAGAACAGAAUUUUUGAUAUUGUUGAUGCUCAAAUUAAGGAGCACUGCCCCAAGGAGGAUGUCAUCGGUGUAGCUAAUAUUGCAAUGAGAUGCUUGAAUUUGAACGGAAAAAAGCGACCGACAAUGAAACAAGUCACAUCAGAGUUGGAGAGGAUCAUUCAAUUGUCACAAAAGAAGGACGUUCAACAAAAUAACGAAGAAGCUGAGAGCAUCACGGCUGAAGUAAUCAGUGCGCGGGAUGAUGCUUCUACAUCAAUUACUUGCAGCAGUUUUCAAGUUGAUCAAGCUCUAUCAUCAUCUGAUGUCGAACCUUUGGUCCCUUUCAAGACUUGGUGA
Molecule: long non-coding RNA, 52246 nt
Filed under: Populus tremula
Lineage: Eukaryota; Viridiplantae; Streptophyta; Magnoliopsida; Malpighiales; Salicaceae
Description: long non-coding RNA (PTRE_LNC002864)
Source: RNAcentral